Molecule: long non-coding RNA, 64212 nt
Filed under: Cucumis sativus (cucumber)
Lineage: Eukaryota; Viridiplantae; Streptophyta; Magnoliopsida; Cucurbitales; Cucurbitaceae
Description: long non-coding RNA (CSAT_LNC002141)
Source: RNAcentral
AUUCUUUAUCUGAUACAUUCUUCCAUGUUUCUAACUGAAGAAUAAUCUACUUGUAUCUUGCAAUUUUUGUGUCUUUUCUCACCUUCGAUGUUAGAUACAAAUUGUGUGUCGUUUCUCUAGAUGCAAGCUGAAAUUAAGCGACGAGCUUCGUUUUUUAUUGACGGAAAAUUCAAUUGUUGGAAAUGGAUGGGUUUCCGCUUGUUCCAGUUGGAAAAUAUUGUGUUCCUGUUAUUUAUGAGAUUUUUCUAUAGUAUAUUGGUAUUUGGUGCAUGUGUCGAUGAUUUGAUAAGUAUUAAGUUGUAAUCCAUGCGUUAUCUUGUGUGAAAUUGGUUAAUUAUUGUGCAGUGUUAGAAUCUAUGUAAGUCAGGCUCUAAAGAAAUAAACCCUGCAACUUCCUUGUUUUCACGUUCUACUAUUAACGGAUUGGGAUUUUUUCUCUCUUCAUAUGAAGGAAUAUUGUUACUGUUUUGCUUUAAUUGUUCUUCAGUUGCGAGCGCUUAUGAUUUAAUAAUAGGAUGCAUAUGCUCGCUGGAGAAUGUUUGGGGUUGAUAGUCAGAAUUUUGUAAGUUAUGAAAAUAGAUGUGUGGUUAGCAAGGUUUUUAUAAGUGGUAAAUCCAUAAAUUUAGUUGACGGGCUUUAUAAUUAAGUAAAAAUAAAAAUGUGAAGUGUGGGGCUUGAACCUGGGUCGACAAAGGCUGAGUGACAGUUUUACAACUGAGCUAGCCAUUGUUAUUAGUAUUAUUUCAGUUUUUUAUAUAUAUUAUAUAAAGAGCAUAGAACAAAAUUGAUAGGGCUUGAGCCCUUGGGUCUAUACUAAAUCCAUUGAUGGUUUUAAUCAUGUUGUUUUGAGUUGAUAAUCUGUGCAGACCUCUAUAUUUAUUCUGAUUGUCUUGUAUGGGUAGCCACAGUUCUGGCUUAACCUUUGUCGGUUUAUGUUGUUUUGAUUUGAUCUUGAUAAUUCUACGUUGGUUCUACUUUACCUGCAAGGCUGUUGCUUGUUAUUCAUUUCCCGUACAUUCUUUAUUGUAGGACCUGCAAGAUGUUACAGGCAAAUUAAAAACAAGCCUUAUCCAAAAUCCAGAUUUUGUCGUGGUGUCCCCGAUCCCAAGAUCAGGAUCUAUGAUGUUGGAAUGAAAAAGAAGGGUGUGGAUGAGUUUCCUUUUUGUGUUCACCUAGUGAGUUGGGAGAAAGAAAAUGUGUCCAGUGAAGCUUUGGAAGCUGCUAGGAUUGCCUGCAACAAGUAUAUGGCAAAGUUUGCUGGGAAGGACGCAUUCCAUUUGAGAGUCAGGGUGCACCCCUUCCAUGUUCUUCGAAUUAACAAGAUGCUUUCAUGUGCUGGGGCUGAUAGGCUCCAGACCGGUAUGAGAGGUGCUUUUGGAAAACCACAAGGAACCUGUGCAAGAGUGGCUAUCGGUCAGGUUCUUCUUUCAGUUCGGUGCAAGGAUAGUAACAGCCAACAUGCACAGGAGGCCCUCCGUCGUGCUAAGUUCAAAUUCCCUGGUCGCCAGAAGAUCAUUGUCAGCAGGAAGUGGUAUGCCUCAAAAGAUUUUUCAGUUUUUUUCUUCUUCAGCUAAAUGCCCUUGUGGGUCAUUCAUGUUGUUUUAGUGCCUCAAUUUAUUUUACAGUAAUUAAAUCUUAAAAUGUUACCAAUCCUAUGAUUAAAUGAUUAUUGCUUCAAAUUUCUUUUUCAGGGGUUUUACUAAAUUCAGUCGGGCUGAUUAUCUAGCUUACAAGGCAGAAAACAAAAUUCUUCCUGAUGGUGUUAAUGCCAAGGUAGGCUAUAUCGCAUUCAGUCAUAUGUCUUGGAAUUUCCUUUUUCUUUUUUCAUUUUACAAGCACAAGAAUGGAUGUUGGGUUAGAUAUUGGGCUACGAGAUUUUACUUUUCCUUUUAUAUCACAUGAAUUUAAACUCGUUAAAGACCAUGUGAAGAGCAUUGACUGUCCUUGGAUGAAUUUGGUUUGAAUGGUGGGUUGCUUAGGGUCAUGUUCAAAAUUUGUUGGUUCUUCAUUACUGAUAAGAACAUAAUUAUUCGUACUUUCGGUAUGUAAAUAUAUCAUGAGAAUGGUCGAGGUGCUCAUAAUCUUUUAUAUCUCAGUGGAAGAGCUGUUCUUAAGGCACGAUUUGAUGGUUAAUUUGCUCUAUUUUAUAUUUACCUUCCUAUAUUUUCAACUAAUGAGUUGGUAACUGAACUUUUCAGCUUCUUGGAUGCCAUGGACCUUUAGCAAAUCGUCAACCUGGAAGAGCAUUUCUAUCUCAAGCCUAAGAUCAGCUAGUUCUUUCGUUUUUGUCAGUUGUUUUUUUCUUCUUUUUGUCGAUUUUGACACUUGAACAAGUCUUUAUUAUCAUAUUUUGUUUGUAUUAAACCUCAAACUAAUUCUGGCAGUUUUAUCGAUCUAUUAUGAUGAGGAUAUAUCAAGAAUCUUGGUUUUUAAGGCUUCCUAUUUUCGAACCAUUAGUUUAUUACAUCAGUGUUUCAUUUCUAAUGUCAGUACCAAUAUAGGCCAUUCUUUUGCAUUAAUGUUACUUUCAUCGAUCAUAUCCAAAAUGAUUUCAAUAUACUCCACUGCUGCUAUCUGAAAACUAUUCCCUUAACCUUAAAAAUAGGAGAUGUGAAUCAACCUAACUAUUGUAACCGGAGAUGUGAAUCAAUUCUAACUAUUGUAAUUUAUUAAUGGAGACUAAUAAAAUUAGUGGUAUGUACUUAACAUUUUGAUCAACUAACUUGAGGUGUGACGACUUUCUUGAUCAAUUAACUUGAGGCAAUUGAAUAUAGGAAGUAUAAGGAAUUGAGUCGACUCGCGAAUUAGAAGAAAGGACACGUAGCCGGGGCAAUAGUUCUCUUUUCCUAAUAUUAAUAUAAAACAAAAACUAAACUAAACAAAAGAGAAGGGUAGAGAAGAAAGAAAUGUAGAAAACAAUUUAACACAUGUUAUAAGUUAUGUUGUAGAAUUCAAUAUACUGGUGUAAAUAACUAUGUUGGUUUCUACGUUUUAAUAGUGAUCACUUCUUGUCCGGUUGGUUUACAAAUGGCUCCGAGUUAGGAAUUGAUCCGACCCAACCGAGAACCAUGUUGCAACGGUCGGUCCAUUUCAAAGCCGGCCGGUUGGGUGACUCCGCAAAGGAAUCUCCUUUUCUUCAUUUUCUUGCAUUCGCUGCGGUCGUCUUCUCUUCUCUGUGUCCAGUUCUUCUUCUUCUUGGACCGAACUCAAGAACCCGUUCACUACAAACUCUCCUUCAAAUGCUCCUUGCCUGAAUCUCUCUACAUAAUCUUCAUGCUUUCCAAAUUCUCAAAACCUUCUCAAAGGGUUCUUGAGGGUCUUCUUACCCUCAGGCUCAGACUCCAUUUCACUCAUCAUCCGAUCACCCACUCCAAUGCCAAUCCUCUUCGAGAUCCGUUCAUCGCACAUUCCUUCUCUUCAGCUCCCUCUUUCCAAUCGAAAUUCCCUUCAAAACCCAUCUCUUCCAAUGUUGGUUUGUCCCAAUUCCUCUAUUCUCCCAAGCUAACUGCUGGAAAUUCUUCUCUGGUUACUAAAUUGAAUGCCCAUCAUUCUGCUUCUAGGUUUAGAUUCUUCUCUGUUAAAAUUCCUCGUUUUGGGGGUCAAAUCAAUGGAAAUUUCGCUAAGAAGGUUAUUGAUAAGCCUGCUGCGGCUGUUAGUUCUGCAUUUUCGAGGUAUCGGGAAGCCAUUGGGUUGCAGAUUGAGGCUUUCUUCAAGAGAAAUUAUCUUGUUCUAUUGGGGUUUGCAGCAGCUUUAAUUUGUGCAUUGCUUUGGAAGAUUAUGUUUGGUAUUGCCAACACCUUUGUUGGGCUCUCUGAAGGCAUGGCUAAGUAUGGAUUUCUCGCUUUAUCUUCAGCUAUCGUUGCUUUUACUGUGAGUUUUCUCUAUUAUCUCUUUUCCCUGUGUUACCUUCAUUUUCUUAGAAAAUGGAUUUAUUGAUCCUUUUGUUUGGCUUGUUAAUAGUUUUGUGUAUAGCUUUUGUUUGUUUACUUGUCAUCAGUGGAAAUAUGGUGAUAAGUUCCUUGGGUACCCGGAAGAGAUGUGAUUAAGAUCACAAAUUAUGCGACUGGUAUAGAAAUUAUUCUGGCUUAGGAGCAACUCUCUCUCUUUUUUUUUUUUUUCCUUUCUUCCCUUAGGUUCUGUUGGAUUUUUAAAUAUUCUGGGACUGUUAUGAAAUAUAAGUAAGGAAAGAAAAUGUACUGUUUGUGACCUUGUACGGCUCAGCGUCUCUAAAUGGAGCGUUGAACACAAGUUUUCUACGAACUACUCUACUUGAGAGCUCAAAGGACACUGUUAUAAAACCUAUAGAAUAAAUCCUGUUCAAGUGAGGUUGUACUGUGAACUACUCUACUUAUGCGGUCAGUUUAGAUUGGAGGACUUUUGUUUGGCUCUCUUUGUUCUUUGGGGGUGCUUGGGGCGUUGGGUUGAGUUCUAAAGUCUCUGGAGUUAAAAAGUCUGAGUUUAGGGUGUAGAGUUGUUUAAUUGGAGUUAAGAAGCCUAUGUUCGUUGUUUAGUCUGUGGUUAGGAACCAUUAGACUUUAGAGUGAAGGGGAGAGAGAGAGAGAGAUUGAGUUUCUCGAUGAACUUCAAAAAUGAAUACUGUUGAGGUUAGUGGAAUUGAGUUAUUUAAAACUAACGAAUGAAGUUGGUAGGCCCAACAUGCCCUUAGGUUGUUUUGCUUGGCUUUUCAGUAUGGAAUGAGAUGACAUCACCUUCUCGUUUCCUAUUAAAAUACACUACUAGCCUUAGCUAGUCCACUGACAGGCUCACAACUUAAUGCUUUUAUGAAGGUACAUACGUGCUAUCUCAAAAUUUAUUUAGCUUUGAUUUUUGUGAUUUUUAGUUUUAAGCUCCUAGUCAAGGAAUUUGAAGGUAAACCUACACACAAGCAGAGAAAAUUUUUAUUUCUAUAUGAAUCCUGAAUCCAUUUGUGCUUCCGUUGGGACCUAUCUUUCCUGUUUGUUAUGACCUCUUCUCCUCAACCCUGUUUGUCAAAAUUGAAUGUUAUUUUUUUCUUUAUGAAGAAUUAUAACCUACUUAGGUGCAAGAAAAAAAAAAUUAUAGCCUACUUUGUGGAUUGCCAAUGUUGAAUGGUAUCUGCUCUUUUUCCAUUUCAAGGGCCUCUAUAUGCGCUCGAGAUUCACAGUCAAUCCUGAUAGAGUUUAUAGAAUGGCCAUGAGAAAGCUCAAUACGUCAGCAGGAAUUCUUGAGGUUAUGGGUGCCCCUCUUACAGGAUCAGACUUGAGAGCUUAUGUUAUGUCAGGAGGCGGGUUCACGCUGAAAAAUUUCGCACCAAACCGUAGGAGCAAGCGAUGCUUUCUUAUUUUUCCAAUCAGAGGUUCUGAAAGGAAGGGUCUAGUCAGUGUUGAAGUAAAAAAGAAGAAGGGCCAGGUUUGUCUUUUUGCUUGCCACUUUCUUUAUGUUUAACUAUCACGAAAUUAUAUUUUUCUUUUUAAUCUAAAAAUCAUUUUGGUAUUAUUUCUUGACAUGAAGCUAUAUAUGGACUUUUUCUGAAUUUCUGGAUUUAUGAUUUUCUUUUCCAUACGGAGAAAUUUCUAUUUUGGCUUUCCCUUAUUAUUUUUCCAACAGCUAGCUCUUUAAGUUUUAGUUAGUUAACUUAUAACGAAUGGCUGUUAAUUACUUAAUUCAUAAUGCAUCAAAGAGGUUAUACGAACGCACAUUGGAAGAACAUAUAGCCGUUUGUUGUAAUUGGAUUUCCUUUUAGAUCUUUGAUAGACAGCUGAAGUAGCUAUGUGAAUUAGUUGACAUAGAUUAACUACUAAAGUAUGUUGAUCAGAGUGUUGAAAUAUGGUGUAAUGAGUUUGUUGGCCAUGUUCUGAAAGUUAUGAAGGGUAUUGUGGGACAAUUAUGCAAAAUAUAAGGAUAGAAUUGUGAGAAAGAGUCUUCUCAAUACACUAUCGAGUAUUGACCUUGUAGUAUCGUAAUCUACACAAAAUACAAAAUAUUGGGAUAGGUAUAUUUAGCUGACAAGGUGUCUUGUAAUAUAUUUAACUUAGUUAUGUGGCCAUUGUAUUUGACAAGUGAUCGUUCUGAAAUUGAUUGGGAAGUUGUGAAUCCUGUGAUUCCAAGUUUUGUGUUUUGUAGAAUCUGCUUCUCGGCUAGGUUACACAGGUCUCGAUUAACUUCACGAGAUAACUAGUGCAACAUCCGGGUGCCAAGAAAACUUGUAGGAUAUUAAAUUCUAAGUGAAUCCAUUUCCUCUUUGCCUUUUAUGAAACUCAAUAUCCUUUAUCUACCAUCGACCAAUCCAUUAUGGUUAUCUGAAACUGAGCUAGAAAUGGGAUAUCUGAUCGAUUUGUAAUUAUUUACAUCCUCCAAUGCAUAACCACCAAUCCACACACAACCAAAGACCAAAGAUCAAGUAUAUUUAAUAGUUAUGAAGUUGCUAAAGAAAUUCCAUUGCAUAUUCUACAGUGUACAUAAGUAGAAUAAUCUCCUUCGUCUGAAUAUUAUAUGGUAUUUUCUCUCUUUUCAGUAUGAUAUGAAGCUACUGGCAGUUGACAUUCCCAUGGCAUCGGGACCCGACCAGCGGCUAUUCCUAAUUGGUAACGAAGAAGAGUACAAAAUAGGUGGUGGACUGAUAUCUGAGCUAAGGGACCCUGUUGUAAAAGCUAUGGCUGCUGUCAAGGAAUUUGAUGAUCUUGACCGAAUUGAGGAAAAGGAAGAUGCAGAGAGAGAACUUCAAGAGGCAGAGAGAAAGAACCGAGAAGAGAUCGAAAAACUCGAGAAAGAACGAUGAAUUUUUGUGAUAUCAUUGUCUUUGUAGUAGUUCUUUGGAGCCUGUUUUGAGAAUCUAGCCUCAUCUUAGAAAAAUGAAUUUGAUUUUAAGAAUCCCAAAAUCUGUAUGUUUAUUGUAUUUUUGGAAGCUCACUUGACUUUGUGCAAGAUUUUCUUUGGAUUUUAGAGUUUUCACAAGAAUCAUUUACGGCAAGUAAAGUUGAAUAAAGCUUGCAAUGUUAUUACUAUGUUAUGUUUGUGUACGUGUGCUUUCGAAUAUUUGAUACUAACUUGAUUCAAAUAAAAUUGACAAAGUGAGUAUAGUUCAAUUAAUUUAAACAUCCAUCAUCUCUACCUUCCUCCUCCCUUAUUGGCAAUUUUAAAUUUUGAUGAAAUACGAACUAUUUUGUUUCGUAUGAGAAAAAAAUCGAUGAGUUAUUAGGUAUUUGUCGACUAUUUUAGUCUAAACUUGUAAUUUAAUCCCUAGAUUAGUUUAGAUUUAAUUAAUUGAAUUUUUUAUCGUAAAAUAGAAAGGAAUGAUUAGUUCGAUUUUUUUGUCAUUUUAUGAAUAAAUUGACGGUGUAAAAAAAUUUCAUAUUUUAAAAUAAAAACAAUAAUUUAAAAACCUAAAAUAUUUAGAGUCCUUGUAACGAAAUAAGAAAAGUUCAUAACUAGUGAUUAUUUUUUCUUAAAUUUCAUAUAUGUCUUUAUGAUUUAUUUAUUAAUUUUGGACCAUCUUGAUCCAAUUAAGGUCAGAUUGAAUAAUUAAACAUACAAGUCUUUCAUCGUAUCUCGCGACAAUGUAUGCUCGAAAUAAAAUAAAAUAAGAUAAAGACAAAAUUAUUCUAUCUCAGUGUCACUAAGACUUGUGAUACAAUAACUAAAGGAAGAAUUCUUUCAUCUCAGAGCAUAAUAUGUACAUAUCGUGUAGUGGGAAUAAUUUUAGUAUUUUACAUUGUGCUAUAUAAAUAUUUUAUUAUAUUUUUGAAAAAACUCUUUUUCCCUCGGUUUUCUUUCUCUUAUAUUUUUAAUUUUACAAAUUUGAAAAGAAUAAAAUGUAUUUUUAAAAUCACGGGUACUAACCGAUGUAGAAAUAUGAUUUUGGUCCAUUUAGUUUCAAAAUUUGUUAAGAGGAAGACAUCCUAAAAUUAGAGAUUUGGAUUAAAAUCAAACAAACCUAACCAACAAAAAAAAUAUAUAAAAAUAAAGAAGAGGCAGAAAAAGGAAGAAAAGGAUUUCAUAUUUUAAAAAAGAAAAAGGUCUCUCCCGCCAGUUUAUGGGUAAUAUAUAAACAGAAUUUUGCAUUACCCAAAAUCCAUUAAAUCUCAAUUUUCAAAUAUCAUCUUUCUAACAGAUUUUGGAUUCAAUGGAAGUUAGGUUUGAUUUGAUGAUCCGAUCGUGACAAAUGGAAGUUGAUCUCUAUUUUGAUCCCCUCGCCGUAAAAAUUGGCUUCUCCUUCUCGAUAUUUCCCUCUCUCUCUCUGCUCUAACAUUCCUCUUUCUCCUUCAAUUCAUGCAUUUCAUCCUUAAUUACUAGAGAUCUCAUUUCCUCCAAAUUUUCGUUUUCUUCUUCGUCCUCUUCCUUCUCUUGGCGCUGAUUCUCCUGAAAAUUUCAGGAUCGGCUUCAAUGACGAGUUGUACAAGAUGCUGAAUCAACGUUAUCCCGAGGUAAACAUGACCUGUCCUUGUCCAUGUCUUGUACGUCUUUUCAUUCUGGUAGUCCAGUUUUCUUUAUAUGGAGAUGAUAGAAAAUUAUUGAUUCCAUUAGACAUAAUAUUCAUGAAUGUGUUCGUUCUUUUGCGCUUAAUUAUUAUUUGUAUUUAUUGGUUAAUAUUUAGGAGGUAUUUUAUGUUGUUUUUGUGUCUGAUUCUUUGUUUCUUGUUGAAUACCUGCAUCUGAGAUUUGCUUCUUGACGUGAAAUGAUAAUCCUCUGCUUCGAUGCAAUAAUGCCUGCGAUUGUAUUUGUAUUUUGAUUCACCUGUUAUUUCUGUAAAAAUUUCGAAGAGAGACCGUUUUGGUCAUCUUUGAAUGGUUUAUAGGAACUAAUUGAUUGACAUUGUAAUCACUGUUCGUGAUUAUAGAAGAUAACUUUUAAUUUGUUUUUUUAAUACCGAUCGUUUCUGAAAACACACUUUACUAGUGGAAGAAAAACUAUUUUAUGAAAUAGUAAACGAACAAGUUUAUUUGAUGGUUUUCUUCUUAUUCAAUUGGUUUCGGUUUCUUAUCACCAUUUUCUUAUUGAUAAGAGAGAAGAUACUUCUUUAUUUUUCAAUAUCUUUUACGAGAAAAAAUUUGUAUUGGUAUUUAUAUUUGCCAUUCUCUGUUUCAUAUUUUUGUUUCCAUGAGAGUUGACUUGAAAUUAUUUCCUAUGAGGUUCAAAAUUUGAAAUUAGACAUGAUAUAAAGAUGUCAUUUCUCCUAUGAAAGAUUAGCUCAAUUGGUUACUUCCCUAAAGAAGAAGAUCGAACUCCAUGAUUUUGUUGAACUCACAAAAUGAUAAUGAUAGUAAUUGUAAUUAUUAUAAUGACAACAAUCGAUGCAUUAACUGUUAGGACAUUUUCCUCCUUUCGCUUUCACUUUCACUUCACGUCUUAAGGUCACGGUCCAAAAGAAUAUUGAGUUGGCUUAACAUUCAUCGGUUUAAAACCGGUGAGCAUAAAGAAUGGGAUGAAGACUUAGCAACUCGAUGUUUCCUCCACGUUUCGGAUUCGAACAUCUUUUUAUUUAUUUUUAUUUUUUUUCUUCUUGUGCUUGGAAAAGAUAAUAUGUUUUGAGUUCGAAGAUAUGUUACCUUGCCUUCGUGGUCAAUUUACCAGUGAGAAAUUGGUUGGGAUCUUAAUGCGAAAGUAGAUCACUCCACUUAUGAAUGGAAAUCUACCUAUGCCCUUCUUGUCUUAUCUAAAGCAUUUUUAUCGUAUAGGGUUAGAACAAAAAUGACAAUUGCACAAAGUAAAAGGAAAAAGAAGUUCAAAAUAGAGUUUCGUGAAAACUUGAACAAAGUGUGAGACAUUUUACUUCAAGUUUCCAGUGCAACUGAUUGUAGGCUCCAUUGGAAAUUGAAUUAAUAUCUAAUCCUACAUUUGCUCUUGACUGAUACACAUAUUAUGCAACUUAACAGGUGUCCUGUUUGGAAACAAUCUUAAUUUUUCAGACAGAGAUUCGAUCUUGUAUUUUCAAUGGGAAACUGCUGGACUAAGGUAGGCCUCUCUCUGGAAGUUCAUUUUCUCUCUCUGAUCAGCUUAGAAAUUCAGGGUUUUGUAUUGAAUUUCUGGUAUAGUGCUUUCUGAUUUAUUUUGUUUGCUAGCACCCAAGUCUCUGACAUGUCUCUUGUACAUUUUAUAUUUAUUCAUCAAGUUCAUUGUCAUCUUGGGUCCACAUAAACAAGUGGAGGUUUGAAAAAUAUCACACUUUUGUUCUGUGGAUUCUUGUUCAGAAUCAUGCAAGUCCACUAAAUUGUCAGAGGAUCAAAUUUUCACUCUUUAAAUAUCAUAUCUGAACUCUCUCUUUCACAUAGAUUUUUCUAAAUCAAACGACUUUAAAGAGAUUUAACCUGAAAGUUUUUGUUGGAAGCUCCACUCGUCCAUGUCUCCUAAUGGUCAGUGUUGAUUUAUUCCACUUUCCUCAUUUACAUGAUGUUAACGUUUGACCCUUGGAUAAUCGCAUUGGAGUGUUAGUGUUCAAGUCUCCAUCCUUGAUACCCAUAGUUUGAAAAUUAUUGGACGUAGUGAACAUGAACACGUACGUUGUGGUAUUCAAGAUGCACAAUUAAACCAUACCUUUUAUGGCUUUUGAACACUUCGUCAUAUCUUCAAUGUGAGAUAAAAUGGUAAAUCUUGCAGUUUCGACCUGCUCAAUUAAUUUUUGUAUCUUCUAAGUUAGUUACAUCCAAUACACUUGACAUUUUGCAGCUUUUCAAUAGUGGACAAGAAGACUACGCUGAAGUCCAGAAUGUUGAUAGCAAAAACGUACAUCUCAUUACGUCGAUGGAGAAGUGGGAGGCGAAGCUUUUGGAAGCAACCGAAGAUGGCAAGAUUGUAAGUUAGGAUGACAAGUAAAUUUCUAGUUCAUUUAUUAUUCAUCAUCAUGUUUGACAUUAUUAAUUUAACAAAUUCAGACGAAAACCAUACAAAGUGUUACGUUUUAAUUAUCUUUAUAAAAAUUAACUAUCCUAACAGGUUAUUGCAAACUUCAGUGCACAUUGGUGUAGACCUUGUAAAUCCAUGACUCCAGCAUAUUGUGAGCUUGCUGAUAAGUAUACUUCCAUGGUAUUUUUAGCCAUUGACGUCGAUGAGCUAGCCGUAAGUAAAACCUAUCUUUUGGUCAUCCUUCGUUUAUUUAUAUAAUUAACUUGAUGUUUUUAGAGGCAUAUAUAUAACUAAUAUGAUGAAUCUAUAGCUCUCCAUUGGUAUGCUGUUCUUGUCCAUGGCUUAACUCUUCCAUUAUAUUUUAACAUUUGUAUGGUUUUUAUUUCACAUUUUAUUUCACUCUCAUCCCUUGUUUUGUUUUUGUUUGUUUCUUGUUUUUGAAAAUAAGGAAAAACAAAGAUCAUGUCUAUUAGUUCUUUCUUUCAAUUGUAUAGAUUAAACAUAUUUUUUUUUUAACAAGUGGUAAUUUAUUAUGUGUUGGAAAAACUAGAAUUAAACAUGAAUUAUGAUAAUACCUCAAACUAGAUUUUAUUAGAGUUAUUUUUAAAAAUAGUAAAAUAAAUUAAAAUACUCAUCAAUUAUAGCAAAAUUUUGAAUUUUAUCAAUCAUAGAAACUGAUAGACUUUUAUAUAACUGUUUAUCAAAGCUGCUGAUUAUAAGCAUAUCAAUGUUCAUCAAUGUUUAUUAUUGAUAGAAUAUGAAAAUUUUGUUAUAUAUUGUAAAUAUUUUGUCAAAUUUGCGUUUUUCAUUUUACUAUUUCUUUUUUUUUGAAACGGAAACAAACUUCUUUAUCAAUAAUAAUAUACUAUAAGAAUAACAAAGAAGCCUAAAAAUGGGAGAAAGAGGAUCAAUAAGUCAACUAGGUUGACCCCUUAGCAUCCUCAAUAUAUUUAUUUCUCAAAUUCGUAUAUAAUUUCAAAGUUCCUUUUUCUAUUUAUAACGUGUGGGGUCUAACUUUGGUUGAGAAUACAUGUAGGAUUACCACAAAUGAAGCCACACUAAAUGCUUGUGUAUGUAUGUCUAAGAAAAUGAUAAACAGAGAAUUGAAAAGAUUACCAAAUUAAAAAUAACACCUGAGAAUGGUUUUUAGCUUGUUGUAUUGUGUCCCUAAUUGGAGUUUUAUAAAGUUUUAGUGUUUAGGAGAAUUAAGAUGGUGAGUUGAAAUAUAUACUAAUGGAAGUUUGUUAGACGACUGAUGUGGGGGUGAGUGUGUUAUAUAUUUUUGGCAGGAACUGAGUACAUCGUGGGAUAUCAAAGCCACGCCAACGUUCGUGUUCUUUAAAGAUGGUCGCCAAGUAGAUAAAUUAGUAGGAGCUGACAAGUCAGAUCUGCAACAAAAGAUUGCUGCAAUGGACGAAUCGGUAAUCAAAUCUCAGACUUGAUUCUUCUUCUUCUUCUUCUUUUUUCCCUAUCGUUUUUUUGCCUUCCUCAAUAUCAUUCAUAUACAUAGAGAAAGUCUAAAAAAAGCACAAAAGAAAUUUCUCAAAAAGUGAUCAAAACAAAGUAGGGUGUACUACUGCAUGAGAAGAAAAUCUUUUCUGCUUUCUUAAUUAAUUAUAUAUCAACUUCUUCAGUGUGAAGAAAAAUUAAUCCCCAUUAAUUCAUACUCAAAAGAGGAUAAAAUUAAAUCACUCUUUUAUGAUUGGUUCCUUGCUUUGCAAGCGAACACACCAUGUACUUCUACCCCAAUGCAAUGCAAUGCAAUUUUAAACAAUUACCCAAAGUUAUAAAUCAUCACCAGUUAAUUUUAAUUUAUUGUUGAAAUUAAAUCACAUAUGCAUGACAUGUUGGUUCUUAUAAUAAUAAUAAUACUUUAGUAGGAAGAAAAGAUCAAAUUUUAAAAAGAAAAAAAAAUGUUUAGUUAAUUAAUUAAUUAAUUACAUAUCCCCCCAUAUUUAGGGUAGAGCUUUUUACAAGCAAGCCAAAGAGUAGAGAUGGAUUGGAGAAAAAAGGGCUAUGAUCGGUAUCCAUUUCGUAUACGAUUUCUGGUGGCCAUUUCUUUAUCAUGGCUUCUUGUUGCUCCGGUUUUAUUACUCGAUCGUACAUUGUUCUUAUAUACACUCGUUUCACCUUCUCUGCGCCCUCCUCCUCGCUGCUGCUGCGCUCCUCAUCUCUGAACUCUGCAGACAUUAACGCCUGGAUUGGCCCUGGUCUCAGUAGCAUCGCUGCUAGUGUCGAAUCCUAACAUAGAUUUAAUUAAUAACAUCAAACACUACGUCCUUUAAUUCAUUCAUUCUUUUUAUAGAAUGGGUUUAGGUACCUCUUGGGGACUCAUGUGAUAGGCGAUUUUACGUUGGAAUUCCCUCUUGAUGACCGCAGUGGUGGGAGGUUGUUCGGAUCCUAGUCCAAAUCCUAGGCUGUAAACAUCUCCAUAUUCAGAAAAAUCUGGCACUCCCUACACAUUAAAAAUCAUAAUUAAAAUAAGUUUAGCUUAAUGAUAAUUAAGCUAACAUUUCAUUAGAAUAUGAUUCUAUCUUUCAUCUCCACUGCUGAGUGAAAUUGUUUACUGUGUCGUGAUAAGAAUAAAUCCCCUAUUUUUCACACUACUGUUAGUGAUCACAUUAAUUGAUUAUGAAGUCAACACAUAAAUUAAUAAUUGUUUAAAGGUCUAGAAAAUGUCUAAUUAUGUAAGGUCUAUAGAUGGAGAUUAGGGAGGAGGUUACACGGGUGUGUACCAAGACAUCGGAAAUUUUUUACUCCCCUAUUGCUUACAACACACGUGUCUCUAUCUAAAAAUGCAUCGAUUUUAUACAUUAAAAAAAUAGAAAAAGAAAAACCCAAUUCUCUCUCUCUCUCUCUUUCAACAGCUCAACUUCAAUCAAUCACCAUAAAGUGAGGAAAUGUGGUUGUCAACAAUUUUCUUUUCAUUUUGCCAUAUCUAGUAAAAAAAAAUCUUCCCUCUUUUUCUUCCUUUCUAUGCCUCAAAAGCUUCCGAAGCGUUUCCCCGAGCCGGAUUGGUAGGUAGAGAUUAGAGAGAAGUGAGAUAGGGAAAAACUAGAAGACUUAUUUGGGCUAGCGUUGGGUGGAAUCCAUAACUAACUCCAUAUAUGAAACUCCCACUAUAUUAUAAGUAAUCAAAUUAGUAUUAUUUUUUUAAAUUAGUGUACACAAUUUUCUACUUUAUCUCUCUAUUUUAUUUAAAUUAAAAUAAUUUACACUUCAAAUUAAUACAAACAAACCCAAGGUUGGAAAAAUCACAUCAACAGAUUUGAAGCAGAUGAGCAGGGAGAGGAAUAAAAAGGUGGGACACUAUUAUAUUGAAUAAUGUAGGAAUGGAAAGGGAAAAGAAAGAAAAUAGAGUUGAAUAAACAAGAGAUGUCCAUAUCAGAUUGGGCCACAUGGGCAGAGCAGGAGGAAUUCCUGUGCCCAAUCAAUAGGGAAUUAGAAAUAGAAUGGCUUUUGUAUUAUUAUUAUUAUUUUCCCUUCAUCAUCAAAAGAAUAAUAAUAAUAAAACCCAUAGAAUACAAUUUGAGUGCACACGUGAGAACUGUGAACUUGUCGCCUUCUAUUCAGCACACUAAACACUAUUACUUUGUGGACUUUCAACACUCCCCAACUCCCCUAAUAUCCUAAUUUUGACUCCUACUUCAAAAUAAUAUAAUACCAAAAGAUAUUCCAUCCACACUCUACCAUUAUACACAUUACACACAUAAUGAUUUAUUACAUUCUUAAUUUUCAUUUUAAUAUACUCUAUAUUCUUCUAAAGGAAUGUUUUAAUCUUAAUUAGAUAUUAAAUUUAUCUAAGUUAAAAUUUAAAAAGAAAAAAAGAGAGAAAACUUUAAAUCUACCUAUAAUACCUAUUAUUUGAUGCAUAAGAAGUAUGUUAGGUAAAUUAGAGGUGUGAAUGGAUUGAGUUGGGAGACACUCUCGACCCAAACCCAUAUUUUCGGAAUGAUUGAUUUGGCAUUCCGAAUAAUAAGAUUAAUUUUUCUAAAAUAUGGGUUGGAUUGGGUUGUUAGACUAUAUAUAUAUUUACCCUCUUAUAUGAUCGUUUAACUUUUUACCUUCAAAUAUGCUUUACUUUUUAUAGGAUGUGGUAACUUUUCAUACGAUCAUUUAACUUUCUACAAUGUUUAACUAUAUAUAUAUAUAUAUAUUAAUAUAGGUAGGGUAGUUUAGCUACCCUAAUGCAAAUAUUUUAAUUUAUUUAUUUAUGAAAAUGUGUUGGAGUAAAAUGUAUUUUAUUUUGUAAAAAAUUACAUAGAAAGCUUUUUAUCCGCAACGUAGGGUGUGGCACAAAAAAAUUACAGCAGCUAAAGGAAGGUAUUUUCACCAAAGAGAGGGGGACACGUUCUUGGCUGCCGCUGUGGUUCCACCGUACCAAUCUACUUCGGGAUAAAAAUCGCAUUCAAGCGACCUCCACUUUUACAUUACAUUACCACAACUUAUCACUUAUAUGUACUUUCUCUUUUCCUUUAAACAUAAAUCUAACACAAUUUUGGUUAUUAGUCUUUUGAAUUAUGUUUAUGCCCAACUCAAAUUAUCUUUCUUUUUUAAACUUCAUGCUUCAGUCUUUUCUGGACAACAAAAUCUUUUGAAUUAUUUCCUAGAAAGAGCUUGGACGCAAUCCUUCCUGUGUCGCUUCCGUCGAACGAAUUGUUCAAUAAAGUUCUUUUCUAGUAAAAUUCUUUUUAUAAAAAUUAAACUAUUUUUUUUUAAAAAAAAGAUAUUUGUCCAAGAAAAAUAUUAAAUACCAAGAAUAUGUUACAAUUUAAUAUGAAAGUUUUCGAUCAAAAUCCGAUAUGUGAUCUUCAUACAUUUUUGUCAUUAGUAGAAAUUAAACUUCAACCUCGUGAAUGGUAUUGUUUGCUUGUUAAAUGUAGGAAGGAUUUAAUUUUUUAUGAUUCAAUGUCUUUUAAUUUAUGGUAUUUCUUAAGAAAAAAUCUUCAAAAUUAUGAAAAAUUUAGUAAAGAGAAUGAAGUUAUCACUUGCACAAUUAACAUUUAACUGAUUUAAGUCUUACAAUCUGGAUUUGGAUUGGUUAAUAUAAUGGAAUAUUGGUUAAUAUAAUGGAAUCCUUAAUCAAAAUGUUAAUAAAAGUUUAGUUUACAUGAACCAGCUGGCUGGUGGCUGUCUCUAUUUCAUUUCCUAAUUAAAAAGACAAAAACGAAAGUGUUUAAUUAACUGAGUAAUGACUUCUUUUUUUUUUUCUUUCUAGAAAACGAUAAAUAGUUAAUGGCUUUUUAAUGAUAAUAAGUUAUAAAUUUCGUUUCAAAGAAAAUUAAAAUUUAAUUAGUGAGAAUUUUAUUGAUUCUUAAAGAUAGUUUAUAAAAUCUUGUUACGUUUUAAGGACUAUAUUGUAAUAUUUGAAAUUAUGGGGACUAAUUGUAAAUUUUAUAAACUAAAUUUCUAAUUUAACCGAAUGAAUUAGCAGGCUGGGCGUUUUCUCUGCCUCAUGCCAUCUGCGAUGAGAGCAAGAGAGCUUAGCGGUUCGACUAACGGCCAAAACUAUUCACACGUUUUCACUCGCAUAUAAUCGACAGCACCACCACCGCUGGCCGGCGACGAGCUUCACAACAAUCUCGUCGUCCGGCCGCCGCACUACUACUCCAAGUUCUACUUCAAUUACUAUUCGUAAAAUCAAACAUGAACUAAAAGUAGUGAGAACAAGAGAAUUUACUUACGUCUUUAAUAUCUUGAUCAUUCUGGAAUCCAAAUCUCAGCAUCGUUGCCGCUACAUACACCGCCAAACGGAUUUUCUUCGCGAACUUAAGCGUCGCUUGAGUAACACUUAAUCCUCCAGCGCUAUGUCCAACCAGAAUGAUCUGCAAAAGUUUUCAACGAUCUCUAAAUCAAACAGAACUUCACUCGAUCGCAAUCGAUUGAAGAACGACACAUCCGAAGACGAAAAUGAAAUUACAAGAAGCAACGAAUGUAUAAUAAUAAUAAUAAUAAUAAUAAUAUAAUUACCUGCUCAUUUUCUAUUAAACUAGAGAUGAAAUCGAGCAGAGGCUUAUAGUAAUUGUCUAAUCUAACGACGGAAAUCAGAUCGGAACGAUGGAUUCCACACAGAGAUUAACAAAAAAAAAAAGAAAACGACGAACGUAUAAUAAAAACAUUAAUUACCUGUUCGUUUUCCGGCAAAGUAGAAAUGAAAUCGAGCAGAGGCUGAUUGUAAUCGUCGAAAUUGAAGACGGAAUUCGGAUCAGAGCGAUCGAUUCCAGCGCCUUUGAGAUCAAUACAAGUGACUUUAAAGCCAGAAUUCUCCAUUAAACAUCUGAUUUUGUACCAGCACCAACCUCCUCCACUUAUGCCAUGAACGAGAACGAAGUGCGGCGGAAUCUGCACUGAAACAGAGUUCACUGAACUUGGCGCCAGGUUUUCUUUCUCUCCCAUGGCGGUUCUUCAAAUAUUUACGAAUUGGAAGUAAUGAUUGUAAAUGUGUAUUAUAUAUAUAUAGAGUCUGUGUAGUUGAAGUAGUCCUUGAAAUCAUUAUAAUGUUUUUUCUUUUUUCUUUUUUCUUUUUGUUUAGUCGGACCUUACAAGAUUUAAUUGUUUAUAUUUUAUUCUUACAUUCAGUUCCACUAUGGUUGAAAAAACUAGAGAGUCUUUGAAGGGAAUGGACGGUUGAGAUUUUAAUCAUCGAAACCAAUCACUGUCGCUUGUAUUUGAGCCUACGGUGUGUGCAGCUUCAGGGGAAAAUAUUCUAGAAUCUGUUGUUAAAAAAUUAUGAGAAGUGAUGAAUUAUUUGUAUUAAUUUUUCCUUUAAAAAAGGAGAGAGUUAUUUCUUCCCAUUGAUGAUGUAAUUUUGUUUUAAAGAAUUUCUUUGCCAAGGUCUUAGUUCUUUUUCAGGAUAGAAAUUAGUUAGAAUGAUAAAAAAAGAUUUAGAAAAAAAAUAGUUCAUACACAUAUAUGACAAAAAGUAAUUAGAAAUAUCAAAUAACUUUUAAAAAACUAUAAAAUAAUUAUUCACUUAUAAAUUUGUUAUUUUUGUAAUUUAGAAAAUGUACUAGCAAAUGUAAAAAUUGAGUUGUUCCAGAAAUAGAAUCUUUGAUUUUUACCAUAUAAAAUAUAAAAGUUAUAUUAUUUUUAAUAUUUUGAAGGUUGACUUGUAUAUGAAUUUAUAUAAAAAGUUAAAUAAUUGUUUUUUUAAUAUUCAAAAUUUGAUUUUUGAAAUAAACAAUCAAUGAACAUUUGAAAUUAUUCAUAUAUUAUGUAUAUAUAGAUAGGUAGAGUGUGUGUUGUGUGAUCUUUCUAGUACAACAAAUAAGAUACGAAAUUUAAACCUAACGUUUAAUUUAAGAGAAGUACGUAGUACAUAUCAAUUCAAUUAGUUUGGGUAAAGAAAAAUGGUGUGAUGUGUUGGAGAUUUGAUUGUAAUUUUUUAUAUUUAUCUAUCAACAUUUGUGAUCGUUUUGAGGUUGUUUUAAAUAUAGUUUUGAUAUAUGUUUCAGACUAUCAUUAAUUUUUUUAGAAUAUUUUAUUUUUCUUCUCUGAAUUUGUCGGUUUUCUUAUUUCGUUCAAUAUUUUCCUUUAUUGAGUUGCGACUUAUCUUGUUCAAAUGAGGAUUUUCUGUCUUUCUUAAAUUUGGUUUUAAAAGGAGAAUAAUGGUGAUUUCUUAAGGUUGUUGUUUUUGUUAUUUGAGAAGACAUUUUCUACUUUGUGACCGAAUUAUUCAUCAUUAUGUUAUUUCUCUUUGGUUACUAUAAUCUACCGUCCAAGUUCUUUAUCCCUUGAGUGUGCAACAUGCUGAAGAUAAUUGCAAUCUUAAGGUCGGGAACCUAAGACUCGGUUAUGGAGAAAGCUAAAGAGUUCUCCAUCUUAAGGGAUACUGCUAAGAUUCAUCAACGAGGGAGUUCGCCGACUUCCAAGAGAAGAAAACAACGUUUAGAGGAGUCUCAUCACACACUGACGAAAGUCAAAGUAUACAACACCAAUAUUAUCAAACUUAGAUAUAUAGAGUGUAAGUACCUUUAAGGAGUCUCACAUCUAAGGAAAGUCUAGAUCAGAUCAGUGAAUUAACCUCUACAUGUGAGUUAUUGAGAUAAGUACUCUGUUGUAAACUACUUACUUUUAAUAUUAGUGGAUUAUCUUUUUUUUAGGCACAUACUAUCCCUAAACAUAGGUAGAUUUCACCAAACUAAGUUAUUAGCUUUGGUGUAACGGAUCACUUGUCGAUAUUUUGAAGGCGAACUAAAAGAAAAUAGAAUAAAUAUAAAUUAAAUACGACGACAAAAUAUCCUUUCUUUUCUUAAUAAAAGGAUUCAAUUAAUAUAUUUAUUAUUUUAUUUUCAUCAUUGGAAAAAGUUGUGUAAAGAUGGAAUUACUUAAUUGGGAUAAACUUUUUUGUUUAGGAAAGGAUAAACCAAUCUUAGAUCCAUAUUCACUUAACCAUUUCUAAUAUUGGGAUUUGCAAUUCCUAAAUAGUAUGAAAUUCUUCCAUUUAUUGUGUUAUGUUAAACUAUUUAUAAAAUAUAACAAAAUUCAUUUAUUUCUGUAUGAUCUUUUUAAUAGUAUAAGUGUUAUGUUAGUUGACUCGUUUUCUCUUAGCGGCUUCAUUGCUUUGCUUACGAGGAAGGAAAACUUAAAAUGUAAGCCUAAUGCUUAGUGAGUGACAUUUUAGGAAAAACCUUUUGGAGAAUGCGAGUACAAGCAUAAUAUUAUUUUACAAAAACAACUCAACACUUUAGCACACGUUAAGAACAAUAAAUUAAAUACCAUGUUAGCCUUUAUUUAAUUAAUCAUUUGUAUCUUUGCAGACCCUCGCCCAAUUUCAGUUACUCUUGGAGGUUAGCUCAAAGGCGAACCACUCAAUGCAUACAGUCACCUACUCGCCACUCAUACUUUAACUUGUAAACAAACUUUCAAACGACCAUGUUUUUUUAUAUAAAACAUAAACAAAGUUACACCAUGUAUAUUAUACUAAACAUAACAUGACAUUGAAAGAAAAAUUUAAGAUAAAACUCAUCUUCUUCAAAAGGGUCACCUUUUAAUUCCUUUUUAACGCCUAACUUAACCUAAGUUCUCUACUUCUCGUUUGAUAUUUUCUUGGUAGAGCUUUAACACGAGGUCUCUAUUUAUACUAAUCCUAAAUUGAAUUAGUCAACCUAAAACUUAUCUUAGUUGUCAACUCCUUCUUAGUGUCUUACACAGGGCAGUUUAAUAUCCUUCUUAAUCCAUGCUUAACCUAAGCUUAACACUUAUUUAGCUUAACCAAUCAUUCCGAUUUAACACUUCAUCAACUCCUCCUCACCUCAUAACUAGUUAAGUACUCGUUGCCACCUUCCCUAAUUCUCAACUUCCUUUCUCGUAAGACUAUUCUUUCCCUAGCUCAAGACACGCAACUCUACUUCAGAACGCGGGCUUCACAACAUCGGUUGUUAAUUUGUAUUUUGUAACCAACUUUACACCGUGGAUUGAAACCUCCUUUUUGAUUCUUUUGUUUUUGGUAGAAUUGGCUCUGUUUUUCCAUUUGUCGUUCAUCCCCCACUAAAUAACUCCAAAUUAAACAACUUUCAUUCAUUUCUUGGAACUACUCAUCAAAUAAGAUAAUAUGGACAUUUUGAACGUGGAAGACACAUCAGCAAAAUAGUAGAAAACAAACAGAAUAAUAUUAAUUAUUAAAUGCAAAAAUUACUCAAAAGACUUUUUUUCAAGAAAGAAAAUAAAUAAAAUUGGGAUCCCAUGUUUUGAGAAAAUUUUCGUUUUGUUUUUGUUUGUUUAUGUCCACUUUGGAGGCCCCAACAAAACGUCCCUAUUGAUUUCCUUUCCUUUGUCUCAUUUAUUGUUUGUAUUAAAGAUAAGGAUUUUGGAUUAAAAUAACCAAAUCUCACUCACCUAAUCCCUUUCCUAAUAAUAAUAUUCUUAUUUUAUAUUAUUAAUUCAUUCAUUCCAAUUUAAUACAUUUAAAUAAUGGAUAUUAAACACUCAAUAUAUUUAUUUAUUUUGAUGUUAAAACGUCUAUUUAUUUCCAUAUUUUAUGUUAGAGGAAAAGAUCAAAACGUUUGUUGGUAUUUAUUCGUUUUAAUAAUAAAAGUGAAGUUAUUUUCGAUAUUAUUGUCUUAAUUUUUUUAUUUAUUUUGGUUUUUGGAAUUUUUAUUUAUUUCCUCUCUAGUCCUUAUAAUUUAUGGGUAAACAAAAAAUAAACUACAAUGAGAAAGAUGCUAAAAUAAUUUUGAUGUUAAAAUGUCUAUUUAUUUUUCUUUUUUAGUUUUUAAAAAUUUAGCUUGAUUUUAAAAUGUUACUGUAAAAUAGAUUAAAAUCACUUGGAAUAUAUAAGUAGAGUAGUAAAACUUAAUUUUUAAAAAUUAAAUACUUAUCAACCAUUAAAAUGAGAAAUAUGGUGUGAAACAUCAAAAUGAUCUUAACUUUUUUAAGGAAAAUGGUCAUGAAUUGCAAAAUAUAUAAAUAUUAAAAGGAGAAUUGUCAAAAAUAGAAAAUUUGAUAAAAUAUUUGCAACAUAUAGCAAAAUUUUAUAUUCUAUUCAUAAUAGAUAUUGAUAGAUAAUUAUAUGUUUCUAUUAGUAACAUUGAUAGACAGUAAUAAAAGUCUAUCAAUUUCUAUUAUUGAUAGAAUACAAAAUUUUGCUAUAACUUAUAAAUAUUUUAAUUUAUUUGGAUUUUUAAAAAUGUCAUUUUAUAAAAUAUAGCAAAGAAAUUAAAAGUGCUAUAGAGAGUUUGAUUGAUUUUGCUAUAUAUCGUAAAUAGUUUCAAUAUUUUGCUAAAAACAUAAAGGAGGAACCUCAUAUGGAUUAUUUAUUUUUUGAAAAAAUUAUUUUUUUUUAGCAAUAAGAACAAUAAUAAAGGAAAAAAGAACUUAUGAUGAAAGGUUAGGGAAAUUUUCAAAAAUGAAAAAGAAAAUGACAAAACAUUUGUACACAAACAAAAUAAAUUGCGUAUAAACCAUUUUGGAGUUUAGUGAUAUUAUGCUAUUUAUGUAAAUAUUUUGUAAUUUUUUAUUAUAUUUGAAAAGACCACGAAACAUUAUAGAAAAAGUAAAAUAAGUGAAUGAGAAUGACAUUCUUGGUUAUUAUAAAAUCAAUUAAUUAUGAGAGAAUAAUUCUUAAUUUAGUGUGAUUCUUGGAUUGAAUUGACCACCAUCAUUUGUGAAUUAUAGAACUAAGGAUAAAAAUGUCAAUUAAGGAAGAGGGAAAGAUUAAAAAUAUGAGUUGAUAACGAGAUGAACCUAGUCAACCUCGUCUAAUUAAGCCACGAGACCAAGGUCGAGCCUUUAGGGCAACCCAUUUACCGGAAGCUCGAAGUACUAAGGUUGCAAGGAAAGAAGCCGAGACAAACCUUGGAGUGGGACGGGCUUGAGUUAGGCAAUGUGUCCACACAAAUUUGAUACGAUGUCGAAUCGAGAAAAAAUAGGAAAAAGAGUAAUUAGAAGACAAGAGAGAAAGAAGAUAAGUACGAGAAGAGAAGAAAGAAAAGCAAGGUAAAAGCUAAUCGAGAGACUAAAACUUAGAAUGAGAACCUUGAACUCUUUUUGACACACAUCGAAGCUUGUAUGACCUAUCCUACACCUAUGUGUAGUUUUUCAUUCUUUCGUAGACACACUCACUUUUUCGAAAAAUACAAAAUAUAACCUCCAUUUAAAUUUCGAUUAAAAUUUGACAUCGAGAAUUUUUAUUAUUUUUUAAAACAGUGGAACACAAAUGAAAACAAAUACUAUUUAAUUUUUUAUACUUUUCAUUUUUCCUAUAUAAUAAUAAUAAAUAGGAGUUUUUUUUUUUAAAUAGAAAAAUUAACCAACUAUUUAUUAAAUACUUUAGUAAAAAAAGUUCUAUUUUUGACAAAUUUUUCUAAAUAUAAUAUUUUUUUAAAAAAAUAAUUUCUAACUAUCUGAAAAGCAUAAGAUGCCUUCUUGUGAGUUCGAUUAUUGUUCAAACAAUAUAUCUUUAUAAUAUUUCAACCCCACAUAAUAUGAUAAUAUAUAUAUAUAUUUGCCUAUAAAUCAAUGUUUGUGAUAAAAUGUUGAAAUCCGCAAUAAAAGGAUUAUACUAUAUAUUAUAUUACAAGUGAUUUUCAUAUUUGACUAAUACAAGUAUAGUACAAAUACACAAUAGAAAAUUAUGUCACGUUACAUAAUUUAUGAGUUAAAUUAUUAAAAAAUGUAAAUUUUCAAAAGAUUGAUUAUUGAUUGAGAUUACCAACUAAAAUGAGCUUACUUCAAUAAUUAAAAAGACUUUCAUUUUAUAAGCGGAAAAUUUAUUCGAUUUUUGCAUGUUAAAAUCAUUACUUUGUCAUGCUAAAAAAUUAUUUCUUUAAAAUAUAUUCUCAAUAUAAUUUAAACUCAAUCGUAAACAUCCAUAGCACCUUCAUCUCUUAACCUAGGUAUGCAAAUUGGGUUGUGUCUGUUCUUACUAAUGACACGCACGAACCUUAGAUAAUUAAAUUUUGAUCAAAACAUAUAACUCAACUAAUAACCAUUUUUCAAUAUAAAAGAUUUGCAUCCUAUAUUCUAUAAAAGAAUGUCAACCACGAUAUGAUAUAUUUUAAAAUAGAUAACCUAAGUUGAAGCUAAAGUUUCUUUAGAAAAAAAAUACUAAAAUUAAUUUGCAAAAUACUAUAAGCACACAAUUCAAUAAAAACACAACAAAAAAGAGAGAGAGUUAAUUUUACAAUCAGAUAAUAUUUUCAACAUUAAACGAGAAAUUUGAACCUCAUGUGUUUUAGGUUAAUUAUAAACAUAAUUAAAAGAAAAUGAAGUAUCUCUAUUAUUGUUAAUAAUUUAUUACAUGAUCGUGAUCAAGAAAAGAAAGCUUGAUUAUCGUUUAACUUAAACUUACCUUAAUUUCUAUAUUUGUAUUUAAAAAUAUAAAAACUUCUAUAAUUCACAUAUAAAAAUAGAAUAUGAAGAAUAUAUAUAGGAAUAGUUGUUUUCACGUUAUCUUAAAUGAACAUUAAAUAUGAGUUAGAUAAUCUCUAUAAAUACAUAUUAAAUUAUAGUUUUUUAAACAUUAGGUACCUAUAAAUGCUUGUAAAAACUAAGCCAUAGUUUUAGUAAUUGUAAAUAGAAUGUUACAAACCAAAUUUAAAUUAAAGUAAAUACAAAAUUUAAGUCUGUUCUAACUUAAUUUUUUUUUAAAAAAUCAAUCAUUUUUAUUCAAAUUCUUUAUACAUGUAAAUUUAUUUGGUUGGUUAUACCAAAAGUGCGUUAUCAAAUUACUAUGAAGAUCAACUAUACUACUUUAUAAAUUAAUAAUUUAAAACUCUUAACGUAAAACAUGAUCGUCUAGGCCUAGGGUAUGGUCGUUGCUAGAGUUAAUAGUUGAAGUUGGUUGACGAAAGAUAGAUGCUGUUCGUGAUAUAAAUCAAAGUAUUUUCGUACAAUACUAUAAUAGAUAAAGUGAUGAAAGUUUGUUAAUCAAAUAGCAGAUUAUGAUAGAAUAAUUUAGUGAAAGGGAAAGAAAGUGAAAGGAUAUUUGUGAUGGAAGUGAGAGUAUAUUUGUUUUGGUGUUUGAAAUAGAGAGUAAAGGGAUGGAUAUUAUAAAGGUAGGAGAAGAAAGAAAAAAGGGUAGAGUGGAUAUGUGUGGAUUGGGCAAAGAUAUAAAGGACCAAGGAGGGUCAAUAAUUGGACUAUUAUUAUUAUUAUAAUGCAAUUAAGUAGGGCUUGCCUUUUUUUUCCCCAAUAGCUACUCAUGACUUUGAGCUUUUAAAGUCAUGGAUAUAUCAAUAGUGAACUAAGCCCCUUUUGCUACCUCAAAGGAAAACCAUACUUUGUCCUAACUUUUAGUAGAUUCUUUCCCUCUUUUGCCAUUCCCUUUUUCCUUCCUAUUUAUUAAAAAAUAUAAAUGCCAUCUACAUACCUAGGUAUAUGUGUACGUAGGCAAAGAGGUUCAUAUUUGAAAGUUUUUAACGAUCAAUGCUACAAGAUUAGUUUGUUGUAAGUAUUGAUUACUUUGUAGGUUCUUAAAUGUAGCAAACGUAAUUGAUAACAAAAGCUAGCAUUUGUACGAUCAAUCAAAUGAUUCUUACAUAGACCAAGAAAUAUAGAAAGAGAUUAAUUACGCUUAAAGAUGAAUAUUCCACAAGCUUAAUUUGAAAGGUAAUAUUGACUAGCUAAAAGUUGCGCUUUACAUUUAAAAGAUAAAUAAAAUUCAAAACAACACAUGCAUAAUAUGAUUGUGUAGUGUCCAACUCUAACAAACGUGGAAAGUGAUCUUAAACUAUGACGCAUACAAAAAGUGGCUAUAGAACUUCGUCCCUAGGUUGUAUUAUUUAUCCCUAGGCGUGGUUUGGCUACAUAGGGAUCAUUCGUCCUGACCUCUUUGCUUAAAGUCCAUAUAGUUUGCAAUUCUAGCUAGCUUAACUCUCUAUCCAAUUGCAUAUUCAUAUACCCAUAUAGCUUAUUUCGCUAUUUUUCAUGAACCUCCCUAAAGCUUGUUCUCGUGUCUACAACUUUUGUGCUUUUUCUAUUACUAGGCCUAUCUACUUCAAAGUUUACAUUAUUGCCAACAAAAAAAAAGUUAGCAAAGUAAAGAUAUACAUGACACGAUAUAUACUUUGAGAGGGUGGGAUAAAUGAGUGGCUAAGACGUUAGUUUUAGCUUGUAGUGCGAACCACGAUCAUCGAGGCAACCUUUAUUAUGUGAUUCUUCACUUAAAAAGGGAGAGGAAAAUAAAUUGUGAUAAAGAAGAAAAAGUAGAGCAAAUAAUUUUGGUACAUAAAAGUCUUUUUAAAUGAAAUGAAAAUUUUUAUAUUAUUAAUUUAGAUAUGAUUAAUUACAUUAAAAAUCUAGUUAUAAGAAAUAUAAACUCAACCCAUAUAGUAUAUAUACCACACAUCAUUAUUCCAAACCAACAGCACAUCAAAAAAAAAAAAAAAAAUGUUUGGGUUGAAUUAAAAGAGAAGAUGGUGUCUCGUAUUGGCCAACCAAAAGUUUCAAAAAAUUUACUUUUUUCUAUUUUCUAAAAUUUGAAGAAUACAAAUAUAUUUGAUUGUUGUGAAAGAGAUUAAUUAUUUAACCUUUUAAAUUAAUUUAAACAAUUACAUGGUGCGACUUUAAAUUAAAAACUUAAUUUUAAAAGAAAAAUACAUUCGUAAAAAUUCGGAGAAUAAAAAGUUACAUUUAGACGUUUUGAAAAAUAAUUUAUAUAACGACGACAAUUCCAACAAUUUAAAAUAAUAUAAGAAUUACUUUAUAAACCUUCUAAAGUCGUCAUUCUUAAAAAAUUGAAGAUAUAUCCACUAAAAGUUACAUUAUGAAAUCUUCGCGAUCAAAUGUACGUCUUUUGAAUUAAAUACUUCAAAACGAAAAAAAAGUCUAUUUUAAAAACUCAAAAGAACAAAAACACGCAAUUAUUAUUUAAAGUAAAAAACCAAGAAACUAAUUUUGUCAAGAAAUUUAUUACUUAAAGAAUAAUUACAAAGUAUUGAUAGAUAUAAUAUACUGCAACAUAUGAAGUUUAUCUGUGAGAGUUUAAUCACCGAUAAAAUUUGUUCUAUUUGUUAUUAUUGUUCACUAAAUACCGUUACUUAAAAUUGAGAUUAGUUAUUAUUGAUUAUGGAGAAAGGGAAAUGAGAGUAUAGAGAAAUAAUUAGGGUCAUAUUUAUAGAAAAGAAAUAGAGGGAAGAGAGAGAUGGCCAAGACCACGUUUGGUUGUCUCCAUGAGUGGGUAGCAUUCCACACAUGGCCAUUGCUUAACCAUUUUUCCCCCACUUCUUCUUGUUACCUUCAAAAGAAAGAAAAAACAAACAACGAAAGUAAAAAAAGACGAUUAUUUGCAAAAUAUAACGAAAUUCCAGGUUAUCACUAUAAUAAACUUUUUGUUAGCAAAUAUCGAUAGACAACGAUAGAAGUCUAUCAGUAUCUGUCAAAGAAUCUGAACAUUCACUAUGUUUUGUAAAUGUUUUUCAAUAAUUUAAAAAAGAAAAAUCAUUUCCUUUUACGUAAAAGUUCUGCGAAUCCUUGCCCUUUGAUGUUAUUCUUUCUUUCUUUUCCCUUUCACUCAAACUUCUUUCUUUAUAAUGCAUGAAUCUUUCUCUACGUGGGUUCCUUAUUCUAUUCUAUGCAUCAAACCUCUACUCUCUUUUUAGAAAAUAUGUUAAAGGUAGAAUAAAGUUUCCACUUUUAAUAUAAAUGGGUCUCCUCUUUCUAACGACAAACUUUUCUAAUUUUAUCAACGUAACCAAAUUAUUGAAGUGACGUUUGAUUUUAGAGAUGAAUUAUUUGUUAUAUUUCCACAUUAAAUAUGUUGAGUUUAAAUUCCAAAGUAGAUCAUUGUUUUGUUAACAAAGAUCCACUGUUUUGAAAGUAAAAAUUCCAGUGCAAUUUCAGUACGAAAUUGUUAAUCGUUUGUUGCACUCUUCGAGGUUAAUAGUAAUCCAAGCUAACUCUAGUUGGUUAAAACAAAAACAGAUAGAAUAGAAAAAUAGAUGAGGAAAAUGAUGAACCAAAUUUGGAAACACCAUCCACACUUUAGUUGAUGUAUAUAUAUAGUUAUUAUUGUGAGCCAAACAAUGUGAUCCACUCUAGAAAAUGGUGGUGUUUUGUGGUUUUGGUGAUUAAAAGUUGAAGAUUUACCCAUUUUUGGACAAUUUAGGGGGAGACAUGAAGAUGGUGUAAGAAAGUUUUGAAGGAGUUAAUUAUAAACUUUUUAUAAAAGUGAAAUGCAAGUGAAGGGGUGUGUAGGUGUUAGGAGUAAAUGGAAAAUCAUCAUGGAGUGGAUUCCCAUUCAUUGGACAAACUAGGCAAGACACAUCAAGAUGAAUAAUGUAAGAAAGUUUUUGAAAGAGUGGAAUGCAAAUGAAUAGAUAUAGAUGUCAGGACCAAAUAUAGAUAUUUGCAUCGUGGAUGAAUCCAACGACUAUCUUGGAAGUAAAAAUAGUGUAACUUUAAUGUUAAAUCGUAAGAAAAAUGUUGUUUCUUGAAAAAUAGAAUAACAGGAUGUGACAAAGAAGAAUGUAAAUUUAUAUAUUUUCUCAAAGUAUCGAUUUUUUAAUAGAAAGAGAUAAAUGAUUCUUUGGAUACUUGAACUUGGCCCGUCCUAACUUGACGGACGACAACACUCGUGGGAAAGGUUUCUAUAUCCUUUUUUAAAUUGACAUGCAAGUGUUUGUAUACGAACAACUUUAUCAACUUAAAAUCUUUAGUGUGGGUGUGGUGAUUCAUGCCAUUAAAUGCAUGAUUUUAUAAGCUCUAGCAAUUUGUAAACUUUUAUUAUGGAAAAGGGAUUCGUGCAUGAGUUUGCUUCUGAUUUUAGCUAUAAUCGGUUGAGAUGAGCUCAUUAGGGAUAAUUAUGCUUAGAUAUGCUCUAACUCACUUAUACUUUUAUCAUUCGUACCUAUUGGGUCGAUUAGAUGUGAGACAAACAUUUUUAUUUUUUUCCAUAAAAAAAUACUUGUUAUACGAGUCAAAACACCAAAUCACUCCCAACCAUGGCUAUAUAAUUUUGUAGUUUUUAAUCUUGAUAGAGGUAUUAUAUGACCAACAUGAGCUCAACUCAACAUAUGUAUCUUCCUGAAGACAAAUGGUACGGUCUUAAGUUCAAAUCAUCUCACCCUAAAUUGUACUUAAUAAGACAUUUUUUUUUAAAAAAAAAAGUAGCAUAUAAAUACCUAUAGAAAACCAAAUAAAUUUAGUCUUUUAUAUUAUUUUUCUUUUGUAUAUAUUUCCAAUAUAAGCUAUAUUAAAAUAAUAUUUGAAUGGUUUAAGUUCAAGUUUGCUCCUUCAAUUUUAACAAUAAACUAAUUUCAUUAAAACUUUGUAUUAUAUUUAACCCUCCUUCCCUACCCUACGAAAUUUUCUAUAUUACAUUGAUCAAUAAACUUUUGCAUCUAGGUCGAGGUUAGCAAAGGGUCCAAUGAACUACUAGGUUCAAAUCAGUUUUAAUUCGGGAAGGUGUGAUAUUUAAUCUUUUAAUCUUUUAAUCUUUAAUCAUUUAUUCGAAGAUAAUAUAUAGAACAUUUUAUCGUUAUGAUAUGGUUUUGUGAAAUCAAAGAGAUAGAUUGUUGUCGAUUUUUGUAAAAAAAGAAUGCCGUAGUACAACGACAACAUAAGGCUUUUGAGAAUUCGUAACAAAUGAAAGUUUAGAUGAAAAAAAAAGAAUGGAUAUUUUACCAUUAUUCCAACGUUUUGAAAUGCUUAGGUUUUUACAAACACUUAAUCUAUAGUUAAAUUGAUAAAAUCUUUGUACAACUCACCAAUGACUAAAUUUCUAAAAAAUUGGUAAAUUUUAACUACCCUUAUUGAAAAAUAAGUUUUCUUUUUUGUUAGAUAGUAAAUAAGAACAAUAUUUAUUAUUGAUGUUGAUGAAAAUAUAAUGGCCUUGAUUAUAAGAAAAUUUCAAUGAAAAUAUCGAUUUGGAUUGAUAUUUAUAAAAAAGUUAUAAAAAUAAAAAAUUUAGAAAAAUAAAUUUAAUUAGUAAAUAAACGUUUUAUUAUUUUCAAAUAAGUAAAUAUGUCUGUUAUUUAUAUUAUAUUCAUAUUGUCGACAAAUUUUGAUGUUUAUAAUUUUUUUUAAAACAAAAAAUAGCAAGAUCAAUAGUUUUAAUCUCAAAUUUUAACUACCAUUAUGAAAAUAUAGGAAAAUUGUCAACAAUAACAAAUUUAACAAAAUAUUUAAAAUUUUAUCAAUAAUAGAUAUUAAUAGCCUCUGCUUCUAUCAGUGACAUCGAUGACCAAUGAUAAAAGUCUAUCCAAAAUUUUGAUAUAACUGAUAAAUAUUUUAAUUUAUUUUGAAAUUUUAAAAAAUGUCCAAAAAUAUAUAUUAUUAUUCUUAUUAUUUGUGUUAGAUAUAGUAAAUAAGAAUAUUGGAUCUACCAAAGCCAUAAAUAUUAUCAAAUUUCAUUUCUCUAAAACUAAAGAUUAUGAAAAGAUAUAUUUGUAAAGUUUGAGGGAAUUUUAAAAUUGAAAAUACUUUAGCGCAAAGAACAAAGUCGACGGUCCAUUUUCACAAAUAAAAAAAAGAAGAAGAAGGAGAAGAAACGGUCCAAUCCAAAUGGUAGAGUGGGCCCAGUUUUCCAAAAAAUAGGUAAAAUAAUUGAGGAUUAAUGGCCCAUAUAUCCCUCUUUUUUCAAAACUACCCCAUUUUCCCGCCCACUUUUGUUCCCCUUUACUAUUCCUCUCAUUUUCAAAUUUAAAUUAAACAAAUAAGAAUUUAUCGUUUAAAAAUAUUUACAAAAUGAACGGCGGAUCCAAAAAUUAUAGGUAGGGACACUAUAUAAAAAAAUAGAUGUAGUAGACGAGAUUUAAAUUCAGAACUCUUGAGUUUUAAAGAAACAUAACCACUAUACUAGAGAUAAAAUUUAGCAACAAUAGAACAUUAUUUAAUAUGUAUUAUAUGUAUUGUAAUUUAAUAUUUCAAAACUGAUAUUAAAAUAUAAAAAAUCGAAAAGGUAAGGGACACAUGCCCUUGAUCCGUUUUAGUAAAUCCGUCGGUGUACAAAAUACGAUAAAAUAUAGACUUUUGUUAGUGUCUAUUUUUUUCUUAUUUAAAUUAUUGAUAUGAAAUUUUGUUAUGUAUAGUAAAUAGUCCGUUCAUUUUUUUUUUGUUAUAAUUAAUUUAUUCUUUUAGUCAAUUAUAAAAGUUAGAAAUAUUGAAUUUAUGACGUUUAGAAAUGGAAUUAUUAUUUUGUCUUAAAAGUUUACUUAUGAAUAUUUGUCAUUAAGCUUUUGUACUGAAAACAAAGUAUGCAAAGUCAAAUUUGUAAUUACUUUUAAACAAAGUGCAAUGCAUUUUGUAAAACUUGAUGGAUAAAAUAAUCCUCCACUUUUAUAAUUAUAAUUAUGUUGAACAAAAGUAUAAUUGUCUAAGAUUGAAUGUUUAAUUAUUUAUUUUUAAAUGUCUAUUUAUUGGACUCGUCAUAAUAAUAAAAACUCAUGGUCUCUAAAGAUCGAGGUUAUGUCAAAAUAACUUAGUUAAUCUCACUUUAACUAUAAAAGUAACCAUCUAAUCUUUGAAAAACUAAUUUAUAUUCGUUUAACAACAAUUUGACCAUAAAAGUAAUAGUCUAAACUUUAAAAAUCUAAUUUGUAUUAGUUAAUUAAACUCUAACCUCAAAGUUGAUGGUAAUCUUUUAUGUUAAUUGAAUUGCAAAAAAUCAUUCAUAAAGUACAAUGUUAAUUGCAGUUAUAUAUCUUCAAACUUUAAAUCGUAAGAAUCGAGCUCUCAAACUUAUACAAAUGUUAAAAUUGUAAGAAUUAUAAUGAUUCUAUAAAUUUAAAAGUUUAAUUUUUUAAAUUAAAAAGUUGAAUGUGUAAUUGAAACUACCAUCAUACUUUAGAAGUAGUUUGUGAAAUUUGUCUAAUUUAUAAUUUUGAUGGACACGAUAGACCAAAAAACCGAGCCAACCAACCAAAAACAAGUAAUCAUAAGAUGGUUGAUCAAAGAUAAGAAGAGGUUCGAUUUACAAAAAUCCAAUAUGUUAGAACAACAACCGUGUAUAUUUCUACAAUGGUAUGAUAUUGUUCACUUUGAGUAUACACCCUUAUGGUUUCCUUAUCUAACCAAUGUGAGACUUUAGUCAGAUUCACACAAACCAACAACACAUUUAAAAAAAAAUGUUGAAGUUGAGCUUGACUUUUUUAUCGGAAAGACCGACCCAAACCGACCGAUGUUCGGACUAAAUUUAACAAAGAGUAGAAUAGAGGUGAGAAUAUGAAGAGAGGGAAAAGGGCGGCAAGAUAAGAAGAAGGCAGAAUUUGAAAAAUGGAAUCUUAGUAGUUAUCGUUAUUUCCAUCAUUUUGAUUAUUAAAAGUGUCAUUUAGUUCUCUGUCUUUACUGUUUCUUACUCUUUCAAAAACUUUUCUCAUUGUCCUCUCUACGUUUCUUCCCUCUCAAUCUGCCCCCACUCUCUUCCAAUCAAUCACUCUCCCUUUUCAAUCUUUCUCUCUUCCGAUUCAUCUCCAGAUCUCUCUCAACCUCCUCCAUCCACGUCCAACUUCAUCAGGUACUCCAUCCUCUCAUUUCCCUUUUUCCAUUUUCUUCUAACGAUUUGCUCGUUUCUAUGUGUUGUUUUGGUUUUGAGAUGUGUAGAUUUCCUUGAUGAAAUUCAUUUCUGGUUGUGGUUUUGUUGAUGUGCUUUAUUUUUUGUAAUUUCUUCCAAGGAUUGGUUGAGGUUCGCCUUCUGUGUUGUUUUUGGAGUUAAUGGUUUUGUAAUUGUUUUAAGCUGCGAAAGUUUUUUUUUAUUUGGAUCUUCUUGAUGGAAUUCAUUUCAGAUGUAUGAUCUUGUUGAUGGGUCUACUUAUUUGAUUCUACUGUCUUCUCUACUUUAUAAUUUGUUUCCGAGGAUUGAUUCGCCUUGUGCGUUAUUUUCGAGUAGAUACUUCGAUGAUUGUUUUAAGUUGUGGAGAUUGUUUUUAGUUUUGUUAUUCUUGAUGAAAUUCAUUUCAGACGUGUGAUUUUGUUGAUGUGCUUUCUUCUUUAUACUUUGCUUCAAGGAUUGGUUUGCCUCGUGUGUUGGUUUUGACUAAAUGCUUCGAUGUCUGCUUUAAGCUGCGAAGUUUUCUUUUGGUUUAGAUCUUCUUGUCGAAACUCAUUUCAUAUGUGUGGUAGUAGUACCUCUGAAUUUCUAGCUGUAUUGAUUAGUUUGUACUAUACAUCUAGAAAGAAAUCGUUGGAGCAGAUUUUUGGAUCGGUGCUCGUGUUCGUAAUGGAAAGUCCGGAAUUGAAGAAGCUGAAACCAUUUUGGGAUGAGGCUGGGAUUCAGAACAGAUCUAAAUGGCUUUCAAAUAGUCUUGAAGGUAAGUAAUAUUUAUGAUCGAGUUUACUGAUUCCUUGUUCAACCCUAACGUAAUAACUAAGAAGUUAGGUCACGCAUAACUUACCAAAAUUAUGAAAUUCGAGAAAUUCGAUUGGAUGAUUCAUUCCCAGUCUCUAAAGGAUUAAUGAUCCGCCUAAAAAUCAAAUGAAUUCUAACAUUCUGUUUUUGUCAAAGUGCACUACUUUUUAUUUAUGCACUAUCGAUCAUGCCUAUUAUAAAAGGUCAAUCAAACAUAUAGAUUACAUGGUUCAUUAAGAUAUACAUUUUCAAUACAUUCUUAGCAUUUCCCAAUCCUCAUUUUUAUCACACUUGAUACUUUUUUGAUAAGCAGAGGUAAAUUUUUAUGUGUUUUCGGAUGGGUCGUCAAUCAUUUAAGGGUUGAGGACGUAAAAAUCUCUAUGAAAUUAAUCAGAAAGCCUUUUCUCAUACAGAUAUGAAUCGGAGUGUUGAGCAGAUGCUGAAGACGAUCAAAGAAAAUAGUGAUAGUUUCCCCGAGAGUGUUGAUAUGGAUUCACAAGUUGAGGAGUUCUCCCGGUUGUAUCAAUCAUUGGUUGAAAAUGUGUUAUCACCGGAGCUACAAUUGCAGGUGCCUGUUUAUUCUGAUUGUGGAUCUCCUCAAGGCACACCGGAGUUAAGUUCCGAUCAAAAACAGGGUUUCAAUUUGUCGAGCAAUAGAGGUUUGGAUAUCUCUUUUGAUUCAGGUGGUGGCAGCUCCAGUCUUUCUCUCAAGGAUGGAACUGAAUCUUCUUCUUCUUCUUCUUCAUCGGACUCUGAAUCAGAAUCUUUCAACUCAUCUGUCGACAAUAACUAUGUGGUUUCACGUGCUGAAAGAGAUGGACAAGGUCUGAAGAAAAAACUUCUUGCAAUUGAAUCUGAGCUUCCAAACAUUAAAGGGGGAUUUUGGGUUGGUGAGGAAGUUAAGGUAAAUUAUGAUGAAUUGCAUGACAAAAUCGCUAAGAUCGAGGAAGAACUUAAAGUUUCAAAUGCAAAGCUUCAAUCAUCUGAAAAUGAGGUAACAAGAUUAAAGAGUGAGGUUGAGAAGAAUGAAACAGCAAUUUUGCUAUCAGAAGGAUUGCAAGCCCAACUUGAAUCAGUUGAAAAAGACAAGCAAGUAAUGGAAACUGAACUUCAAGUGAAAAAGAAGAAAAUCGAGCAAUUGGAAACUCGGAUUUCACAAUCUGAUUCAAAGAUUGAAAGAUUGAUUAAAGAUUUAGAAAUCAGCAAAGAAAUGCUCAAAAGUUCAAACGACAAGAUCACAAGGCUUACACAUGAACUGGAGAACACAAAAUCUGACCACCAUAUACAAAUCAAGGAAUUAGAAACUGCUUUCCAAGUUUCACAAGAACGAUUUCAUGCUGAGAAAGAACAAAUGGAGACUGACAUUCUCAGACAAGUUGAAGCUGAGAAAACAGAAACAAAAGCUCUCCACAACUCUCAAUUGACAAUGUAUCAAGGAGAGAUUAGUCAGUUGAAGGAAGAACUUUCCGUAAGAAGCGAAAGUUUAGCUGAUUUGAAUAGGAAUCACGACGAGCUAAAACUAAAGUAUGAUAUGGUAAUGGCUGAGAAAGAUGAGGCGAGCGCCGUGGUUCUUUCACUUUUAGCUGAUAAAGAAUCGAGAGAAUCUCAUGUCAAUGAAUUGAAGGGUCAAUUGAAGCAUUUACAAGUAGACAAGAGGAGGUUGAUUGAAGGAUCUGAAAGGCAGAACAAAGAAAUUGAUGAUUUGAAAUUGAGACUCUCAGAGUUGGGAGAAGAAGUGAAAAUGCAAAAGACUAUGAUAGAGGAUGGGGCAGAAGGGAAAAGAGAAGCCAUAAGGCAGCUCUGUUUCUCGUUGGAGCACUACAGGAAUGGCUAUCAAGAGCUUCGUGAAGCAUUCAUUGCGCACAAACCACGUCCGGUACUCUCUGCAUAGUCCCUUUUGCUUGUUAAAAUCUCCUUGUCUGUUUUUGUGCUCUUUUAUAAGUAUUAUUAUGACGAUAUUGUUUGGGAGUGAUUUUUUACCAUCGUUAAAAUCACCUUUUUUUUUUUUCGUUUAAGAUUGUUAGGACGAUAUUUUACUAUGUAUUUAUCGUAGUUAUUUCCUUUGUUUAUGGAUGCCGUAUCGGUAUGAAUUGCUUCCUAAGCACGCUAUGCAUACUAUAUAUUGAACUAAACUAGUAAACUUGAGGUCAUUAGCUACGGGAAAUACAAUACAUGGUAAAAUUAUCUAGCCUCGCCUCGUAUCUCAAUGGACAUGAAGCUCAAUCAAGUUCGCCUAUAAUUUCCAUUAGCACGAACAGCGAACUACCAAACCAAAACUGACUAAACCAUUGGUUAAGUGGUUCGGUCUUGAGUUCAUAAUGGUUUGGUUUUGUUCAAUAUGUUAUACCUCUCUAUGUAUAGUUGUUUGGGGGACAUGCAAAGUUUUGUUUUACGUAGUAGAAUUGUCCACGUUCACUUUGUAGCCCAAUGACCAAACCAAUUGUUUCAAUGUUUGGAGGUGCAACCCAAUUCACCCAUUUUUGCCAUGAAGGCAAAUGUAAAAUCGCUGAACCCAAUUGAUUGAAUCAUCGGUUAAGUGUUCAUGACGAUUUGAUUUGGUUUAAUUUUUAUAUUUUUGAAGGUAAUAUGGUUUGAUUUUAGUUUAACACAAAACCGAACUAACCCUAACGAGUGUUGUAUCACAAAGGAGUUGAAAUAAAACCAAAACCAAGUAUGGUUAUGGUGGAAUUGAAUGUUACAAACCAAUUAGCUCAUUACUGAAUAAUAUUCUUUGAUACUCUACAAAUAGAUUCACAAAGGAACUCAUACACGAGUUAGACUAAUUGCUAAAUUACAUAAUUUGGGGCAUAAAUUAUGAUGGGUGUCACAUUAAACAUACUUAACAACUUCAAUGGAGUUAACAAUAGCCCAUACUAGCUGGUCAAAUUUUCUUCUUGAAGAGAGAUGAGACUUAGUCUUAGGUUUCUAGUCAAUUUUGAAAAGAAAAGAAACCCUAAAAUCUCUACACCUACAAAAUCAAAACAAUAAAAAUUUUAUAAGCUUAUAUUCUAUAAUUCUUAUGUUCGUCCUCAUGAUCUUGGUCCUUACGUUGGAUGCAAUUUUCACCAAGUUCUAAUAUUCACUUUUUAAAAGCAUUGUUUUGGUCUUAUAUCUAACCCAACAAAGAUAGCACCAAGAUUGCUAUUAAAGAAAUCGGACAAAAAAAAAAAAAAAGUGCUAUUUAAUGACAAUUACAUCAUGACUAUUGUUGAUCUUGAAAUUAGACACAGUAAAAACACACCUGACUUUCACGUGACAACAACAAUAAAUUUAUAAUUUGAGGAAGAGAUAGAUAUAAUUUAGUUUAUAUUCCACAUUUAUUUAUAUUAAUAUUUAGUUUAAUCUAAGGAUAAUUAUUGUAAAUACCAAAACUGUAGAAAUUAUUUUCAUAAUAGAUAUCAAUAGAAAUCUAUAUUUUGGUUGUAUCUCGUUAUUGAGUCUAUGAUACUCUUCAUUGUAACUCAAUAAUGAGUGUUUAGUUGCUUUCAAAAAAUAAAAAAGAAAAGGUAGCUAGGGAAUUUGUUCUGUAACUUUUUUUCUUUUUUUAUUUGUAGGCCAUGUAUUGUUUGAUAAAUUGAGGUAUGUUUUAUGUACUCUAAAAUCAUUACUUAAGACUUUGUGUAAAAUGUUAUUUUAAUAACUUAAUUGGUUAUUUUCUCACCAUUGCAUGUUGAUCAAAAUGUUAGGAUUAAAAAUAAACUUGAUCACUCCAACUAAAACGUAAACGCUUACAUACGUUUUAGUUUGAAUGAGUUUAAUUAUCAUUAAAACUAGCCUAUUUUAUUUAAUUGGAUAGUAUUAUAACACGAUGUAAGAUAUGUCCAUACAUACAUUGAAUAUAGCAUAUAAUUUAUCUUUUUCUCAACCAAAACCAAAUCAUUGGAUGAAAAUGAGAGAAUCUUUUUUAGGGAACAAAUUAUUAUAUAUAAAAUAUGAGUUUAAGAUUCUAUACCUUAAUUCCUCCACGAGGUUCCAUUUUCUAAUAUUUUCAAGAACUUCCACAAUAACAUGAAAAUAAGAUAAUCGGCAUAUCAAUUAGCUUCGGUUCAUGUUACUAUCGAAGCUCUUAAAAGAAGAAGAAGAAGAAAACGUGUCUUCACUAUCUUCUCUUGUUGGUUUUGUUUUUAGACUAUGUUUGGAUCAAGAGAAUGGAGAGACACGUCUACCUUAAUAUACUUCAACGAGGUUCCAUCUCCAAAACGUUUUCUAAUAUUUCCCAAGAGCUCCCACAAUAACAUGAAGAAAAGAUAACCGAUAUUGAUUAGCUUCACUUCAUGUUGUUAUGGCAGCUCUUAAAAAGAGGAAAAAAAUGUGUCUUCACUUCAUGUUCUUCAUUGUUUUUAGACCAUGUUGGCAUUAAGACGAGAAUGGAGAUACUUCUACCUUAAUACUUCCACAAGCUUCGAUACAUCUUUAACAUUUUUCUAAUAAUUCCAAGAACUCCCGCAAUAACAUGAAGAAAAGAUAACCGGUAUCGAUAUCGAUUAGCUUCACUUCAUGUUAUUAUGGCAGUUCUUUCAAAAGAAAAAAGAAAAUUAUAGAAAAUGUGUCUUUCACUAUACCUUCUCUUGUUGGUUUGUCAUUUAAACCAAGUUGGGAUUAAGAGGAUGAGAAGGAAUGGUAUAUGAAAGCCCCUUUGUUUGCUUCAAGGGUUUGUGUGUUAAAUGAGAUAAUGUGGAAAUAAAGAGUUCCCAUGUCUUUUAUAUAUUGCAUUUAGGGGUAUUUUAGACCUUAAAAACGUACGGAUUUUUAAAAAGUACCAUUUGAGCCGACUUGAUUUUAACCACAAAUUUCUUAGUUCAUACAUAUUGAUUGAACUGACGGCUGUAGGUGAGAGUAGAGUUUUUUUUUUUUUUUUUUCUUCAAUUGGCACUUUGAUCUUCUCCUCUUUUAUUUUUUUCUUAAUUUUGUUUUUUCGUUUACAUCUUAGGUUUGGUUUUGAUAUUAUUACGAGGUAAUUUAAAGGGAAAUUUUUAAAAAUAACAAAAUAAAUUAAAAUAUUUACAAGCUAUAGCAAAAUUUGAAUUCUAUCAAUGAUAAUCAUCGAUAGACUCCUAUUACUAGUGACUAUCAAUGUCUAUUAUUGAUAGAAUCUAAAAAUUUUGCUAUAUGUUGUAAAUAUUUUGUCAAAUUUGCUAUUUCUGACAAUUUUCUUAGUUUUUUAAAUAUAGCAAAAUUUUAGAGUCUAUUAAUGAUAGAUACUAGUAGACUCAAAAUAUAUUAAUGUCUGCCCUUGAUAAAUUUUAAAUUUUACUAUAUUUUAUAAAUAUUUUAGUUCAUUUUUUUUUUAUAUAUUUGAAAAUAACAUGUUUUAAUUCAACUUUACCGUUUACCAUUUUAGUUUUUCUCAUGUCAUAGCUUUAACCAAAAUCGAACUGUCCUUAUGAUUUAAAUAUUUUCUCGAUUUAUUAAAAGGGAUGAUUAUUUAUUUAUUUAUUUUUAAAGUUUUAGAUUUAAAUAGUUAUCAAAUAAAACUUAAUUUAGUUUGAGAUUGUCGUAGCUUUUAAAAUAAUCAUUGACAAUUGUUUUUUUUAAAAAAGUUGUUCGUGAAAUGAAGUAAAUUAUUGUUUGAUAAAUUUUAGCGUACAUGCAAGUUAUAGUGUUUGAUAAAUAAAUACCAUAACAUCUUUCUUUAGAUAAUGAUAACUAAAAUAAUUUUUUUUUAUUUUUUUUAUUUUUCAUCAUUCCUAACCCUAAAUAGUUGUUUAGAAUGAUAUAUUUUGUUUAUAUAUAUGAAAAAUUUAGGAAAAUUAUCAAAAAUAGCAAAUUUGAUCGAAUCUUAUUUUGGAAAGAUAAAAUUGAAAAUUACAUGUCAAUUAAAAAUUUUAUAUGAUUUUAGGAGAGAAUCUAAAAGUUAGUAUAAUUUCAUUUUAAAAAUAGAAGUGAAAUGAGCAUGUUUAUUUAAAAGUGAAUUUAACAAAUUUAAUAAUCUAUUUUGUCAAAGCAUACAAAAAGUUAUUAAGAUCUUUUUCUUUUUUUACCAUUUCUAUCCAUUUUCUAAAAAAAUAAAAAUAAUUUUAAACGUACAAUACAAUUACGAACUCAAGUCUGUGCUUUUAUCCCUCUUUAGACUAACAAAAAAAGGAAGAAAAGUACCCAUAGGACAUAAUCACAUGUUAAAAAGAAAAUUAAGAUGUCAAAAGGUAUUGGAUGCUUAGUCCUUCAUCUUUACUAUAAAGCACUAAAAGUAAUUCUAACUAAUACCUUUGAUCCAUAGUUUCACUAUAAACCACCACCAAAAGUAAUUUUACUUAAUACAUUUCAUUCAUAGUUUGAAGAUAUUUUAUAGUCAUUUCAACUAUAAACAUAGGAAUAGUUGAAUAUAAGUAAUUAAAUUCAUACUAUAUCAAUUAUAGAUUUUGUUAUAUUUACAAUUUUUUUGUUGCUAUAGUUUUAAUUAUUAUCUCCAAAAUUCUUAUUCGAUACAAUGUACCUUAGGUGGACAUCAUCAAUCCAGAUAGAAAAAGUAAACACCCAUUUGGAUAAUCCAAUUAAUUUAUUUUGCAACAUGAGAUAUAUGGUAAUUAUAAUGGACAACAAUUUUAAGAUAAACUAAUUUGCAUAGUAUCGCUUAACAUGAUCUAUGAUCAAUGGAAGACUCCUGUGGUUGAGUGACUCUAACAAACUUUGUUAUAUUUGUAAUUUUUUUUAAAAAAAGUUGUUAUAUAUAUCAAUAUUUUGAAUCUAGCUAAUUUUUAUCGUUGCGAUUCUUCUUUGGAACAAUAGAUUUAGCAAAAUAAAUUAAAAUAUUUACAAGCUAUAUAGCAAAAUUUUGGGAUUCUAUCAAUGAUAGAAAUUGAUAGACUUUUAUCACAGAUUAUCAAUGCUAUUGAUAGAAGAAUGUCACUGCUAUCAAAUGUUUGUUAUUGAUAGAAUCUAAAAUUUUGUUAUAGUUUAUUGUAAUUAUUUGGUCAAAUUUACUAUUUUUACAAUUUCUCUUUAUUAUAUUCUACGUCCUAUAUUAACUUCUUUACCACAUUGUUUUUUUUUUUAGUAAAAUAGGUUAAAUUAACUUUUGUACAAUGGAAUUAGGGAUUAAAUUUAAAUUAAACUUUAAUUUUAAAUAAAAAAUACAUGUUAAUUACUAUUGAAUUAUGCUCAUUUUGAAUGUUGAUGUAUUUGUAUUGUUUGUUCUUUACUCCUUCUGAAGAUAAUGUAUAUAUUUACAGUGACAUAUUGUUUUUUGUAUAACUAAGUGGAUAUAAGAAUUUGAACCAUCGACCUCAAGUAAAAAAAUACACGUCGAUUAUCUUUGAGGUUUUGAAAGAUGAUAGUUGGAUAAAUACUACGAACUUAAAUAUUCUCUUGACACAAAAUUCAAAAUCAAAGUGAUCAAAGGUUUUAACUCAACGAACAUCUGUUGUACCUAAAAACAUAGAGGUCAAGAGUUCACAAAUCUUCAUCCACGUUUAUAUACUUAAAAAAACUUCUAUCAAUGAUAGGCGACACUUAGAACUGCUUAGUGAAAUAUAAAUGUUAAAGUUCCAAAGUGAAAUAUAAAUGUUAAAGUUCGAAAUUUGAGGGAGUUGAAAAAAGGGGAAAGAAAAUUUUCUUUAGUACCUUUAUUCCAUGGUUCAUCAAAAGCAGACAUAUAUCACAAGUUCAAAAUUAAAGAUAUGAUGUCAAAUGCAUCAGAUGCUCUGUCCUUAGCUUGUAAAGAAGAAGAAAGCACGAAAAGAAAUUUUAUUUAAUAUCUUUAUUCCAUAGUUAUAAGAUACUAACAUUUCCAGAUUGGACAUUCGAAACUUUAACCUCUCCACGAAGGUCAGGUCGUGUUAAGUACCGUUUAGUUUUGAAUAGCAGUAGACCUAUUAAUUUAUUUUGCAAUAUGGGAUGAUCAUGGGGUUCUGUUUUGUUAAUUGAACACUACCUUAUGUGACAUAUUGUUUUUAUGUUUAAACCUAUAUGUUAUUCUCAUCUGUGAAAUAAUAAGAAGUUCACUUCAAUCGUAUUAUAAUUCUUAUUAACUUCUUUAACUAUAUGUAGUUUUUAAUAAUAUACGUUCAAUAUGAGAAUUUGGACCUUCGAUGUCAACAUAGUUUUACUGUUUGUCCAUGUUUAUGGGAUGAUAAAUAUGUAUUAGUACAAAUGUAUUCAUUAACGUUUGAUUUAGGGUUUAGGGUUUAGGAUCAAUAUCGUUUGAGAAGUGAUUUAUGAAAUAAAAACGUUAAUGCAGUGCAAAAUUUUAGAGAAUAAUCAAUAUUUUAAAAGCUAUGAUUCCAAAGGCAUUGGAUUCUGUGUCCAAUAUGUACUAAAAGAAUCAAAAGUCAAUUAAUAGCUUUGAACAUAUAUACUUUCCAACUUCAUGACUCUUUCAAGGUUUUAGAUGUUUGGUAUGAUUUAGUAUCUUGUAUGUAUGUGAAGAUCAUCAAUAAUUAAAAUGAGGGUUAUUUGAAUAGUAAUCCAAUCCAUUUAUAUAUCUUAUUCAAUAAGAGAUCGUUUGGGUGUUCUAUACUACCGAAAAACAGAGAAAAAUGUAUAUCUUCUGACGCAUAAGAUACUUUUUCGAUGACAGUUUUGCGCUUCGAAACAUCGGCGGAUUUGGUAUAGGCCUAGGGAGCUCCCUCAACUUUAUUGUCUUUAUAUAAAUAAUAAUAAUAGAUAAAUAAAUAAAAUAGUCCACAUGAAGCUAUCCAUUUACGUAUAUUAAGUAAGUGCAAUGGGUAGCACUUUUAGGGAUAAAAACUAUGUGCGUAUAUCAACAUUUUUUAAAAAUUACAAAAAAUAUAAUAGUGCUAUAUAACAAAUCACUUGGGUGUUCAUUUGGGAGGCAAGCCCACAUCUAAAAUUUUUUGGGAUAAUAUCACUGAAAAAAUCAACAAAAACCUCAGCAACUGGAAAUACUCUUACAUCUCCAAAGGUGGCAAAUUGACCCUCAUCAAUACAACCCUCGAAAGUCUUCCCACAUAUCAGUUAUCUACUUUUAAGGCUCCUAUUGGUGUAUGUAAAAAUAUUGAGAAAAUAUGGAGGAACUUCUCAUGGAAAAAUCCCAAAGAAGACAAUAAUUAUCAUCUCUUAAAAUGGACAAAAGUUACAGCUCCAAAAGACAAAGGGGGUUUAGGUAUCAACAAGAUCACUGACACAAAUUUUGCUUUGCUAAGCAAAUGACUUUGGCGUUUCACCUCCGAAAAUCAACCUCUAUGGAAAAACCUAAUCUCUGCCAAAUACACAAUGGACAAUAUCAGUGGAUUUCAUACAAAAGGAAAAUACAGCAGCUUAAAGGCGCCUUGGAGAUCCAUUAUCAAAGGGAUUGACUGGUCCUCGGCAAAUGUCAAAUGGCAACUCAACAAUGGAGAUAAAAUUUCCUUCUAGAAUGACUCUUGGAAUGAAAAUUUCCCGCUCUCUCUAUACAAACCUCGUCUCUUCGACCUCUCAAAUCUCCAAAAUGGAAAUGUGAAAGAUAUGUGGAAUCGACAACUUCAUGAAUGGGAUAUACACCCUGGAAGAUCACUAAUGAGCAUUGAAAUACAACAAUGGUCGGAAUUGAAAUCCUUGCUUCCUUCUCUAAAUUCAUCUCAAGGUACUGACAUGCCAAAAUGGAAGUUGAAUGACGAUGGGCAGUUCACAAUUGCUUCCACAAAAGAAAAAAGUCAUCCACAUUAUGGACCAAAGAGAUGAAAAUAACAUCAACUCAAACACCUUUAAAAAUUUAUGGAAGACUGGAAUUCCGAAGAAGUGUAAGUUUUGCUUAUGGACAAUCUUGCAUAAUUGUAUCAAUACUGCUGAGAAGCUCCAAAUUGUUGCCUAAAUCCAAAUUGGUGCUACCUUUGUAAAAAGCAUUCAGAAGACAUCAAUCAUAUAUUCAUCAAUUGUGAUGUCACGAAGGUGAUUUGGGAAAAAAUAAAAAAUCUGACCAAUUGGCAUAACCAUUUCACUAAUAUUCAUUGUGCCAAAACAUAUGCAGCACAAAUCGAAAAAGCAAAAAAGGCAUCAUCAUUUUCAAAAUUGCUGCUGCGUUAUGGAUCAUAUGACUGGAGAGAAAUAAAAGGAUAUUCCAAAAUAAGGAUAGACUACUCAAAAUAUUUGGGAAGAUGUCAAAAAGCUCACAUGUUUAUGGGCUAGUAGAUCUUAUUUCUUUAAAAAUUAUCACGCUAGCACUAUUGUUUUGAAUUUAAAUGCUUUUGUAUAACUACCGGGUUUGUCUCUGGCCCUUGUACUCUUCCGCUUCUUAUUCUAAUGAAGCGGGUAAGAUGAGGGUGCUAAGAGGAUGUCCACCUAACGAAGAUGUCCGGGUGCACCUGUUGACCCAUCGUAUUUUUUUUUUAAAAAAAAGAGUUUUUGUCCUCUAGUGACUUUUUUUCCAUAAAAUGUAAAUAAUUUGUAUUUUUUAUUAUUCUUGAAAAAACACCCGUGGAUGAACCAUCUUAAGAAUUUUUUUUUUUUAAAAGGACGGCGUUUGCAAAAAUAGCAAAAAAAAAUUAUGAUAAUAUGAUCCAUGUCACUACAUUUUUUAGAGGAAUAGUUGCAAAUUUAGCAAUUAAAUUCAAAUUAAUUAAGUAUAUAGCACAAUUUUAAAAAAUUUGCUAAUAUAGCAAAAUUUGUCAAAUUCUAUCAAUGAUAUAAGUCUAUCACUUAUAGAUCAUGUUGCAAAUAUUGGUAUAUCACUGAUAUACCAUAUGAAGUGUAUCAGCGAUACAAGUCUAUCAGUGAUAGUUUUGCUAUAUUUGCAAAUUUUUUAAAAUGUUGCUGUAUCCUUAAUUAUUAUUGCUAAAAUAAUCAUUCAUUGCAAUUUUCCUUCUUUAAAUUGCAAAAAUAAAAAAUUUAAAAGAUUAUAGCCUUCCAAUAGCUGAUAUAUAUAUUUAAUUACAUGUUUUAUUUUUCAUAUUUUCAAUAUGUAAAAAAAACGUGCUAUCAGCUGCUUUUUUUUUUAAUUUUUAUGUCAUUAAUGUAAUUUUCUUUUUUUUUAAAAAAAGUGUCAAAUGGCAUGUUUCUAUUGGAUGAUAUAGUCAGGUAACACAAAAGGUAAAUGUAGUUCGAUGCACCUAAGUUUUUCGACCCUACAAAAUAUAGGGUAUAAAUUGUGACCCAUUCCAAUUUUUAUAUAAACAAAAACCAUGCUAUAAAAUGUAAAGGCAUUGGCAAAGAACCAACCCAUUAAAUGUAUAGGAAACUUACAAAUUCGACUUCUUAUAUAGAUUCUUCAACCUCUCUCAACACAUGCUCUCAAUCUUAAUUAAAGAUAUUAAAGAGAAGAUGAUUUGUUAUAAUUAAUAUAAGCCCAAAGAAUAUUCAUAAUUAAGGAAGAAAUGUGUGUUUAUAUGCGUUCACUCCAAGUUUUUCCUACAAGAACUUGAACUUGAGUGCUAAAACAACGUUGCAAUUACAAAAUUAUUUGAAGAAUUUAUGAAGACUAAAAAAAAAAACAAAAAAAGAAUGUUCAAAAUUUUGGUUAUUCAUGGGGUCAUCGUCUUUCAUGAAGUGGUUGCAGCAGGUGAUUGAGCUUUGGGAGCAAGCGGAGAACAAAUAGGAGGGUUUUGUUUUCCAGUAAUAGUGGGCUUCACAUUUGCGCAUACAGAAGUAAUGGGACCUUCGUUCCCAGUGUAUGUGAGGUCAAUGUCAGCUAACUCCACACCUUCACAUGGAUUACUUGAACUACACACAAGAGUUACUGCCUGUGCAUUUCCAGAAGUACCUCUGAUAUUCUUGAAACUCACCUUGCUGAUCUUCACUUUAGAUGGUAUCUGAAAGAAAAACCAAGAAACAAGGCAUGAGUUUUGGUUGAAACAAAUAAGGAUCAAGUACUACUGUUGUUGCAUAACCAGCCCUGAUGAUCAUCACGAUCAGUACCUGUUUAUUGCAUUUGUUAUAUGGACAAUAUUCUUGAUCUAUCAUAAUGGGAUUCGAGACAUUAUUCAUAACUAUAUCUUCAUAAUGCAUGUCCGAAGCUACUCCAGCAGCAGGUGAAGCUGGCCAUGUUUUAAUUCUUAACCCACUUGUUGUACCAGUUAUCGUACAAUUCUUAACUUGAAGUCCCUCAACUGGUUCUUCAGCAUUAUACCUUCCUAGACUUCCUACGCUUAUGCCAUGUCCAGGCCCACAUGUCACAUUUGUGAUUGUUACUUGUUUGCUUCCAUCUCCAAGUGAGAUGCAAUCGUCUCCAGUACCGAUGUUUGAGUUUAAUAUAUUAAUUCCAACACAACGCCCGAGGUGAAUUCCAUCAGUGUUAAUGCUAGUUCCUGGUGCAUUUACAUUUACGUUUUGGAGGGUAAAGUUAUUGCACCCGAGUACUUGGAUAUGGAAGUUCUUGCUAUCUUUAGAGGUUAUGCCACUCACAACUGAAUUCUUUAUAAAGCUGAACUUCAAACUCUGUAUAUUUCAACAACAAAAAAAAGUCACUAGUUAACAUACAUACAUACAUUCAUACGUAUUAUUUAGUCUUUGAAAAGAUCAAGAACUAUAUAUGAAUCAAAAUUAAUUAGUAAGAAAUUAGGCGUGGUUAAAUUAUUAAGUUGAUCAUUAAAGUACUACUGUGCUUUACCAUGGGCAUUGGUGCACAUUUUGGGUUUUUAUGACAAUCGUUGCUUUCCCAAGUUUUUUUCCUUGCCCAUCAAAAACUCCACCUCCUGAUACUGACAAAUCAUUGACAUACUUGAAAUGAACCCAAUCUUCACCUUUUAGAUCUGGUGGUGCUAGCAAUGUUGCUUGUACUUGCAUUUCGAUGGGAGUACUUGUGCAUUCACCUUUUAACUCAAUUGCACCUAAGGUGUAAGUCCCGCUAGGAAUAAUUACUUUACUUGGACCCGCUGAUGCACAAGCUUCCUUCCAUGCAGUUGCCAAAGCCUGUUUAAAUUAAAAUCUCAAACAUAAUCAGCCGCGCACGAUCCAUCAUUGAACGAUGAUAUAUAUAUAUCAUUUGAUUUUUACCUGAGUGAUAUCAGCAUUGGGUUUAGCACCGUACUUUGUCACAUCAAAAACGCCACCAGCACCACCACUAGAAUUGGCGGCGGCAGUAGGUUGGACGGUGGCACCACCACUAGAAUUGGCGGCGGCAGUAGGUUGGACGGUGGCACCACCAGGCUGGGCAGCGGCACCACCAGGUUGGGUGGCGGCACCAGUACUAGAUUGGGCAGUCGCGAUGGAAACAUAUAAUAGUAGGAUGAAGGCGAUGAGAGCAGUGAUGAUGUUGAAGUUGAUUAUACUCAUCUUGUUGUUGUUGUUGUUGUUCUUCUUCUUCUUCUUAGAUCCUUAUAUGAUUCUUAAUUAUAUGAUCUGUUGUGUUCUUGAGAAGUGGGUAUUUAUAAAGUAAUUAGGGAGUAAUCAAAUACCAUUCAAAAUUAGUUUCUAUUAUUAGCUUUCUCCAUUACCCCAAUUAUGCAUAACUAAUUUUGUGCUAACUUUGUCAAAACUAUACCAAUCUAUUUGGUGUCUAAGAUUAAUUGCCAUUUCCCUUCACCAAAAUUUACUCCAUAAAUUUCUCUUAUAUUAUCACUCGUUCAAAAGUGUUUCUUUCAUUGGUUGAAAUUAUUAGUUCAUUGCCUUAAUCUUAUAUUUUUUAAACCUAAUUAAUCUCUAAUCAGCCACUUGGUUUGAAGUAGGAAUGGGGCCAUGCAUGAUUUAAAUAACUCGUAUUCGAGUUCUAUUUCUCUAGAUAAAAUAAUUAGGUAGGUUGGGGAUACUUUCCCCAAUGCAGAUCACAUCAACGACAAGGAAAUGUUUGUCGGCACAUGCUGUCAGCAUGUUGUGAAAACCUGUACAUACAUAUAAAUUUGUAUUAGAGAGAAAACAUUAAAGGGUAAAUAUUAGAAAUGGAUAGUAGCAAAUUUAGCAAUUAGAUUCAAAAUAAUUAAGUAUAUAGCAACAUUUUUUAAAAAUUGCAAAUAUAGCAAAAUUUGUCAAAUAAUAUCAAUGAUAUAAGUCUAUCACCGAUAGACCAUGUUGCAAAUAUUGGUCUAUCACUGAUAGAUCAUACGAAAUCUAUCAACGAUACAAGUCUACUAGUGAUAGUUUUGUUAUAUUUGCAAUUUUUUUAAAAUUUUGUUAUAUCCUUAAUUAUUAUUGUUGAAAUGGUUAUCAAUUGUAAUUUCCUUAUUAGAAAUUGUAUCCACCAUACAAAUCAAUAUAAAAAAUUCAAUUCUACGAAUUAUAUUUCUUUGGAAAUCUCAUGUGAACACUUGGCAUUUGUAUGUCCUUUCUUUUUUAUCAACUUUCUUCACCUCUUCUCCAUUUAUUCUUCUUUUAUAUUUUUUAAUAGUCAUUAUCUUUGUUUUCAAUCAAUUAUAAAUCUUGUAUUUUUUCUCAAAAUGUUAUUUGGUUCAAGAUCGGAACAAAAAUAGUUGAAUAUUGGUUUAGAUUUGGUGUAACAAAUAUAAAAUAUAUUGAAAAAAAUUGUUGGAAUAUUGGUACACGAUCAUUUAGAUUUUGUAAACAUGUAACACCUGCUUGUCUUAAAGGCUUAUUAGAGUAUAAGUGUUCCCACAAACCAACAUGGGUCAUUUGGAAAAAAUCCAUAGGUCAUCUAAUAUACAAUAGUUUCAAGUUAAGUACGCUUAAACUUUGGAUCAAUUUCUAUGAUCAAGCCACUAAAAAGAAAGAUGUAACCUUGUGAUACCUAACUUUUCAAUUCUUUUAAAUCUUUCGUACACUACAAGAAAAAUCAUCUACUACGACAGUUAUUUAUAUCACAAAAUGGAGGGAGGAAAAAAACUGUCACAAAAUGUAAAAAACGUGUUUUUGGCGGGAAAAGACAGAAUUUUUUUAAUAAUACUUUUCGCGACAGUUAUUUGAUAUCAUAGAAGAUAAAUAAAAUAAUUUAUUAAAAUAAAAUUAAUUUUAAAUAAAAAUUAAAGUUAAUUAAAGUUUUUCCCUCAAAUCCUCACACAAAUCUCCAAAUCUAAAAGCCUAAAAUCUUAAAAUUUUUCAAAAUCCUCACGCAAAGAAGGUCAUCUCCAGACGACUCCUGAUCUUGCCACUGUCCGCUCAUGCCCGUCUCUUCACUCCAGCGUCGUCACAACCUCAUCUACGAACGAUGAAACCUCCUCUGCCGGUAAGUCGUCUGUUCCUUCUUCCUUUCUCUCUCUUGGAAGGACAAUAUGGAGAUGAUGAUGCAAUCCAGUCGAUCGAUCUUGCUUCCAAAUGUCUCCAAUACGAAGCAAGAUAUCGAUCCGAUAUAAAAUUCGUUCUUUCAGCAGUGACAUCACUUCAAAAAUAGGAGGUAAACAUUUUACACUCAUACAUAUUAAUCAUCUUAAAAAAGAUAGUGUCUACUCAUGUAUUUUAUACAGUUUAUUUGGACGGAGCAUAUAUCAAUGAAAUGAUGCUGAGAGGUAUGAUUUUCUUAUUCAAAAUAUGUCAUUUUCAUCAUUUUUUUGGUUGAGUAAAACGUUUGCUUCUAGAAGGGUAUGAAGUCUUUUUCUAUGUUCAAAAUAUACUUGCUCUUUUAUUCUCAUGACAUUAUCUGUUAAUACGUGAUUAGGACUAAUUAUGUGUGCGUUGAAAAUUUUAGGAUGUUGUUGUGAAGAUUCUGAUGGAAGAAGAUCUUCAUGCAAAACGGUUUGAUGAGUUUCUUAGGAGGUACAUGUCCAAAUUUUUAACCCCAUAAUAUUUUGAAGCCAAUUUUGGAACAAUGUGCUCUACUUGCAAGUAACCAUUCAGUAGGUCCAAUCACUUUUAUGCAUUUCUAGGUUGCCAUAAUGAAAUGUCUAUGACGUCCAAACAUCACUCUCUUUAUGGGUGCAGUCACAGAGCCUUCAAACUUGUCCAUGGUAACAGAAUACUCUUCUUUCGUCAUCUUUGUCAUAGAUUAUUGUUGAAACAACUAGUUACUAUGGAUUGCUAUGGUGCUACUCUACCACAUCACGGUAUAGUCUCAUCUUUCUUUGUGGCUUUUCCUUGACUUUGAAGAAUAGACAUGUAAAUUUAUUUCAAGGAUGCAAUGCUUUUCUUCCAAAAUUAUAUAUAAUGGACAUACAUACUGGAAAUUAUGUGUAUAAAUUUGGUUAUUAUGUAAAACUGUUAACUAUACAAUUGUACAUCUUUUUUUCAGAUUGAAACUCAUGACUACAUGACUAUGGAUCAAGCAACAAAAAAUAUUUUCAGAGGUGAAGGAUUAUCGGUUAAUUGUUUAUGCUUGUACAAAAAAUCAUGUUAUAUGUAUUAUGAUGUAUUUACACUGGUUUUGAUUAAAGGUUGUAAUUUCAUACUUGUAAAUUGUUCAAACUUGAUUGAAAAUGUACGAAUGUUGCAAAGUGUAUUAUAGUGUAUAUAUAUUAAAGUGUCGACCAUUUUUUUCUACAUGGGUGUUAUGUAUUAUAACAUUAUUAUCAUUCAAACGGUUCGUGUAAUGGCGGAGUGACAAAAAGAAUAGGGAAAACGGUAGUAAUUGAGAAAUUUGCAACAUAAAAUAAAUGUCAUAAUAUAUUAAUUCAUUACACUCCAUAAUUUUUUUAAAUGCAAAUGAUGACAGUUAUUUGUUGCAUAAAAUAGUAAUUAACGACAUUUAUUUUCUGUCAUGAAAAAACUUGUUGUGACAGUUUUUUAAAACUGUCAUGGAAAGUCCUUCAACUCAGAACUCUCUCAUUCAUAUUUGAUAAAACUGUCAUUGAAGGACUUUCCAUGACUUCCAAUACUAUAACUGUAAAUAACUGUCACGAAUUAUUCGUAACAGAAAAUAACUGUGGUCGUAUACCAUUUUUGUUGUACUAAUAUUACUUUUAAAUCAUCAGGAUCCCUCUCAUUCAUAUUUGAUAUUUGUUCAUUCACAUCCCUCUCUUACACUCAGGACCUUACAAGAGAUGAGUAGACUAAAAUUUUCUUUUUUUAUAAAUUGUGUGCAAACUUUAAUCGAAAAUUUACAAUAAAAAGAAAAAAUUAAUAGGUAAAAUUAAAUUACUAAUCCUAAAAAAGUAAAUAAUAUUUUUUGGAAAAAUAUAAAAUAAAUAAAGCUAAAAACAAAAUGUACAAAUACAAUAAUUUUCUUUUCAAAUACACCGUAUGAUUUUUUAGUAGACAGUAAUAAGUUUGUAGAUUCUCAAUGUCUCAUUUUGGUAUGAAUUAAUGUUACGUUUACAAAUAAUGAAAGUGUUUUUGAACAUAUGUUCGUGUGAGUAUUACAUAUCAUCCAAAACUACUUCUAGUCUUCUACCUAAUUAUUUUAUCUAGAGAAAUAGAACUCGAAUACGAGUUAUUUAAAUCAUGCAUGGCCCCAUUCCUACUUCAAACCAAGUGGCUGAUUAGAGAUUAAUUAGGUUUAAAAAAUAUAAGAUUAAGGCAAUGAACUAAUAAAUUUCAACCAAUGAAAGAAACACUUUUGAACGAGUGAUAAUAUAAGAGAAAUUUAUGGAGUAAAUUUUGGUGAAGGGAAAUGGCAAUUAAUCUUAGACACCAAAUAGAUUGGUAUAGUUUUGACAAAAGUUAGCACAAAAUUAGUUAUGCAUAAUUGGGGUAAUGGAGAAAGCUAAUAAUAGAAACUAAUUUUGAAUGGUAUUUGAUUACUCCCUAAUUACUUUAUAAAUACCCACUUCUCAAGAACACAACAGAUCAUAUAAAUUAAGAAUCAUAUAAGGAUCUAAGAAGAAGAAGAAGAAACAACAACAACAAACAACAAGAUGAGUAUAAUCAACUUCAACAUCAUCACUGCUCUCAUCGCCUUCAUCCUACUAUUAUAUGUUUCCAUCGCGACUGCCCAAUCUAGUACUGGUGCCGCCACCCAACCUGGUGGUGCCGCUGCCCAGCCUGGUGGUGCCACCGUCCAACCUACUGCCGCCGCCAAUUCUAGUGGUGGUGCCACCGUCCAACCUACUGCCGCCGCCAAUUCUAGUGGUGGUGCUGGUGGCGUGUUUUUGAUGUGACAAAGUACGGUGCUAAACCCAAUGCUGAUAUCACUCAGGUAAAAAUCAAAUGAUAUAUAUAUAUCAUCGUUCAAUGAUGGAUCGUGCGCGGCUGAUUAUGUUUGAGAUUUUAAUUUAAACAGGCUUUGGCAACUGCAUGGAAGGAAGCUUGUGCAUCAGCGGGUCCAAGUAAAAGUAAUUAUUCCUAGCGGGACUUACACCUUAGGUGCAAUUGAGUUAAAAGGUGAAUGCACAAGUACUCCCAUCGAAAUGCAAGUACAAGCAACAUUGCUAGCACCACCAGAUCUAAAAGGUGAAGAUUGGGUUCAUUUCAAGUAUGUCAAUGAUUUGUCAGUAUCAGGAGGUGGAGUUUUUGAUGGGCAAGGAAAAAAAACUUGGGAAAGCAACGAUUGUCAUAAAAACCCAAAAUGUGCACCAAUGCCCAUGGUAAAGCACAGUAGUACUUUAAUGAUCAACUUAAUAAUUUAACCACGCCUAAUUUCUUACUAAUUAAUUUUGAUUCAUAUAUAGUUCUUGAUCUUUUCAAAGACUAAAUAAUACGUAUGAAUGUAUGUAUGUAUGUUAACUAGUGACUUUUUUUUGUUGUUGAAAUAUACAGAGUUUGAAGUUCAGCUUUAUAAAGAAUUCAGUUGUGAGUGGCAUAACCUCUAAAGAUAGCAAGAACUUCCAUAUCCAAGUACUCGGGUGCCAAUAACUUUACCCUCCAAAACGUAAAUGUAAAUGCACCAGGAACUAGCAUUAACACUGAUGGAAUUCACCUCGGGCGUUGUGUUGGAAUUAAUAUAUUAAACUCAAACAUCGGUACUGGAGACGAUUGCAUCUCACUUGGAGAUGGAAGCAAACAAGUAACAAUCACAAAUGUGACAUGUGGGCCUGGACAUGGCAUAAGCGUAGGAAGUCUAGGAAGGUAUAAUGCUGAAGAACCAGUUGAGGGACUUCAAGUUAAGAAUUGUACGAUAACUGGUACAACAAGUGGGUUAAGAAUUAAAACAUGGCCAGCUUCACCUGCUGCUGGAGUAGCUUCGGACAUGCAUUAUGAAGAUAUAGUUAUGAAUAAUGUCUCGAAUCCCAUUAUGAUAGAUCAAGAAUAUUGUCCAUAUAACAAAUGCAAUAAACAGGUACUGAUCGUGAUGAUCAUCAGGGCUGGUUAUGCAACAACAGUAGUACUUGAUCCUUAUUUGUUUCAACCAAAACUCAUGCCUUGUUUCUUGGUUUUUCUUUCAGAUACCAUCUAAAGUGAAGAUCAGCAAGGUGAGUUUUCAAGAAUAUCAGAGGUACUUCUGGAAAUGCACAGGCAGUAACUCUUGUGUGUAGUUCAAGUAAUCCAUGUGAAGGUGUGGAGUUAGCUGACAUUGACCUCACAUACACUGGGAACGAAGGUCCCAUUUACUUCUGUAUGCGCAAAUGUGAAGCCCACUAUUACUGGAAAACAAAACCCUCCUAUUUGUUCUCCGCUUGCUCCCAAAGCUCAAUCACCUGCUGCAACCACUCCAUGAAAGACGAUGACCCCAUGAAUAACCAAAAUUUUGAACAUUUUUUUUUUUUUUUUAAUUUUAGUCUUCAUAAAUUCUUCAAAUAAUUUUGUAAUUGCAACGUUGUUUUAGCACUCAAGUUGAAGUUCUUGUAGGAAAAACUUGGAGUGAACGCAUAUAAACAUACAUUUCUUCCUUAAUUAUGAAUAUUCUUUUGGCUUAUAUUAAUUAUAACAAAUCAUCUUCUCUUUCAUCUUUAAUUUUGUGGUAAAAUCUCGAGACGUGAUGCAUUCUCUGUUUUUUUUUAGCAUAAUUUUUGCACUCGCAAAUAUACAACAAUCAAAUUCAAAUUAUUAACGCAUAAUAAUUUUCAAAAACAAAUUACAAAUAUAGCUAUAUUGUUGAUAAACUCUAAUAUGUAAUAGGAUGUAUAAUACAAGUUUAUGAAUGAUAGAAGUUUACUCAUGAAUAUAGCAAGAAAAAACAUUUUCAAGUAUAACUAUAUAUUAGAAAAUUGUAAAAAAUAGUAAAUUUGACAAAAUAUUUAUAACAUACCACAAAAAGAUAUUAUGAAUUACUUAAAUAGAUAUUAAGAAUCGUUAUGAUUUAGACCCUACUAUUAAUAUAGUCGGACAUUUUAAAAAUAGUAAAAUAAAUUAAAAUAUUUAAUAGAUAUAUCAAAUUUUAGAUUCUAUCCAUGAUAGUUACCGAUAAACUUUUAUUAAAUUAAUUAUAUAUAUCUUUCAUAAAUUUUUAUAUAUUUAUUUAUUAAGGUAAUUUUGAAAUAUUGUUACUAUCUUUUUUGGUUAGAUUUGGAAGAAGAAAAAAACUUAUUUUUAAUAACUAUUCAAAAAUAUGUAUUUUUAAUAAGAUUUCGAAAUAUUUAUAUUUAUCUCAUUCAUUUUUAUUAUUUUAAUGUUGUAUUAAAUUAAUCUUUAGAUUAUACCUUAUUUGUUUAACAUGAUUUGUAUGUUAAUUAUAUUCUAUGUAAUACAUAUAUUAGCAUUUGAAAAAGUUUGUAAGUUAUACAACUAGAAGACAAUAAAAGAACGAUAACGAAUAAGUUUUUGUUAUAGCUUUACAACGAGCAAAGACUAUUUUUUAUGGUAGAUGGAUUGAAACUUUCCAAUAUCACGAUUAUCGCAUUAUUGGGAUGGAUGUUCCAUUUGCAUCUUCAUUUCAACAAUUUGUUGAAUAUAUUCAAGGUAAAUUUUUUCCGUACUUCAAUCUAUUUGUAUAUUUCGAUAGUUUACUGAAAUGACUGCAACAAUUCAAACCUCAUUUUUGUUGAAGUUUGUUGAAAUCAUUAAAUUGGGUUGUUGACUAGUCUAUAUCAGCUAGUGCGGCAGGAAGUAUAGCGUAUCUAAAUAAUGAACUACGCAGUGAAUUAAAUAUCUAGAGUUAUUUAAUAAUUCUAUACGUAGUGAAUUAAAUAUCAAAUACAAAAUAUUUUGUGUUCAUAUUUUUCAUUUAAAUAAAGUUUUCUUAAAUUCUUUAAUAUUUAAGUACGCUCAAGCUUUCACUUUUGUUAAUACAUUAUUUUUUUUCAAAUCAAUUUAGUUUGAUUUUUAGAGGAUAAGGAUUUUUUUUGUUAAAUGACUAGAGAUUUGUGUGUUUUUUAAAUAUAAAGUAAACACACAUUUUUUCCCAAGAAAAGGGGUUUGUUUUGAAAAAUAUAACGAACCAAAACAAUUUUUAAAACGGAAAAAAACUAGAGACCCAGAAUGAAAAAUACAAAAAAUGCAUAGUCAAAUGCGAUUAAUUUACCACUUGUGCUCGUAAUAUAUAUUUGGUACAUAUCCAAAUCUAAACUAUUUUUUAACAUUUUUUAUACAUGAUCGUUUAUAUUUGAGCAGUUUUUUUAAUAUGGUUGGGAUUUGGCUAAACCUACUAUUUUUGUUCAAUUAGUACACGAUCUUAAACCAAAUGGAAAAGUAGAAAGAAGAUAGAAAGGGAGUGCAAACCUCUAAUAUUAAAAAAAAAAUGGUCGGCUUACUGGGUUUGUUGAUUUUGUUGGAGUUUGGUUAUAUUUAUGAAAAUUAUUUUUCUUUGUACCGUUAGUAAUUUAAUUGUACUUAUUAAUUUUUUCAUUGUAAAUUUUCAAUUAAAGUUUGCAAAUUUAUAAAACAUUUUUUUUUGUAAGGCCAUGCAUUUAGGAAUGAGACGUGAAUGAAUAUGUGAACUAGUGAUCUUAAGUAAUCAAAAGUAAGGUUAAGAAAGAUUUAAUUAAAAAGCUACUACCUAUACCAAUAACGUUUCACGUUCCUUUUCAGUGGCUCGAUCAUAGAAACUCAAAUUAAAUGUACUUAAAUGAGAACUAUUGUUUUUUAGAUGAUCGAUGAAUUUUCGUAUACAAGUAAAGACAAGGGACUCUGUGUUCAUUUGUUAGGACGACUUUCAAUCUAAUAAGCAAGUAGAUCUUACAUGUUUGCAUAUAUAUCGAAUAAUUUUAUUUGUUCCGAUCAAUAUCUAAUUCCAAUAUCUAUCAGUUUUCGAUGUUAUAAAUAUUUUAAAUAAUUUUAUCUGAUUUUUUUUUUUUAAAAAUGUUCCUUAAAGUAGGCAAUUUCCAAAUUGGUUUUGUGAACUGAGAAAAUGGCAAACGCAAAUAUGCUAUGGAGUUCCGCUAAGAUUCUUGGAUUUCCUUCUCCGAUAGCAAGCAACGUCCGAUGGGCAAGGUUCGAUUAUACAUUUCGGCUUCGGCAUCGUCCAUUCGAGGGCUCUUUCUUCUUCUUCAACUCCUUGCGUUUCAAUUGCAGCUCCAGUAAUGCAAAUUCAGUAUGUAAUGGCAAACAGUACUUAGUUUUGUCCGACGAAGAGCUGAUGAAACAGUGCGAAAUGGGCACGUUCAAGGCGUCGGGUCCCGGCGGUCAGCACCGCAACAAGCGCGAGUCUGCUGUUCGUUUGAAGCACAUUCCCACUGGUAUCAUUGCUCAGGUUCAUAUUUGUUUCAUACAUACAAUCAAUUUCAUUGAUAUACUUCUGUUUCUUUUGCUCUGAAGUUAAAUUCUUUGGCCCUUUAUUGCCAAGGCUGUUGAGGAUCGAUCCCAGCAUAAGAAUCGAUCCAGUGCCUUAGCUCGUCUUCGUGCUCUCUUGGCCCUAAAAGGUGCGAUGGAUUAUUUAUUAGAUGUUUAUUUGUUUGUUUGUUUGUUUUUUAUCUCAUUUCUCAUUUCAUGUGUUGAUGUAUUGAAUUCAGUUAGGAACCCUGUGGAUCUUGAAGAUUAUUCGCCUCCCCCAGAGCUUCUUCAGAUUCUUCCUCUUAAGUCCACUGUUAGGCCACCGGAAUGUGGCCCUCAAAUUGGUCCUAACAAUUCUAAGUUUCUGCCGGUAUCUCUCUUUUCUAGUUCUUUCUAUAUGUCUAUAUGUGCAUAUGAGUGUGCGUUUAUGAUUUGAUUUUCUUUAAGAUACAUAAAAUUCUUUUUUGAAAUGAAAACAAGAUUUAUUGAAAUAAUGAAUGAGUCUAAUGCUCAAACUACAUGAGAUGAAACAAAAAUAAAAACUGCAAACUUGCCAAACCAAACCAUAAUGUAAAACAUAGACUAAACUUCUGAUGAAGCAGUAAAAACAUUCGAGUUUUAAACAAGUAACUUGAGUUGAACAAUCAGCAAAGUGUUUAAAUAGAAUAUAUAUUUACACACACACACACACACACACACGAGAAGAUUAUGAAUGAUAGCUGAAUUGCUUAAUUUCCAGGGCAUGCAAGCUCUACUGGAUCUAAUUUCCACACUUGAUGGUUCUGUAUCAGACACAGCUAAGCUUUUAGGGUAUGUAUGCUAUUCAUGUGUUAUCCUUUGUUUCUUUUUACUUUGUUUCCAACCUGAGCUAGCAUUCACAGUUAAAUCCAGAGAAUGGGAGUGUUUCAAUUAUGUGAGAAUAUUGGGCUUUUAUCAAGAAAUUGAAUCUGCUGAUGUGUGGAUGUUAUAAUGGUUGAGAUAUGGAGAUUAGUGGAAGGGGUAUCAUUGGUAGGUUUAUGGUUUUUGGGGAAUGAAGAAGAUUGGCAAUUUUUUCGAGGGCGUGAGGGAAGUGACUAAUGAGUUUGGACCUCUGGAAGAUGUUGGAGGAUAAUUUUCUCGGGAAGUGUCUAGUUGAAGGCAGAAGCCUUGCCUUGUGUGUCUUGAAGAAGGCUUCUUUCAUGGGAUCACUAUGAGUAGGAGGAAGGAGCUUUUACAUUUCUUUUAUUACUUUGGACGUUGGUAUCGCUUUCAUUAAGAAGAGUAGACUUAAGGAUUUGAUCGGUCACCUACUAAGGAAGCAGACCAAAUUUGGUUAGAGAGAGCUUCUUAGUUUGAUGACUAGCUCUGCAGAAGGACAUUCCUUUUGAUCUCCAUUCCUUCUCCCAUCUUGUCUGUUGCGAGGUGGGGGAAGGCAUGAGAGAAGCUACAGAAGCUGUCUCUCUCUUUGUCUCUCUUCUCAUUAGUUAGGGAGUUCAAUUUUUGAAGAAAAGGUGUUCAUUAAAAUAUUAGUCUAUUCUUUUCCAUUAUGUCUCAAAAUGAGAUAACCUUAAAUAUUGAGAGGUGGAUUAAUUGAUGCAAUCAGAACUCUUGAAUUACAAUUUAGAUCAAUCGUCCAAAAACGAUUCUUCACCUUUCCCAUUUUUAAUAUGUCAGUGAUAUAUAUUAGUUGCAAACUCUAAUUGUUAUUUUAACGUUUAAAAAUAUAGGUUAACAACCGGUGCUCUUUCAAGGUUAAUCCUAUCCGAUGAUGCUCUUAGAAUGGCUGUAAAUGAUAUCAGGAUGUCCAAGGUAACACCAUACUAUUUAUGAGAUCAUGAUAGUUACCAUUUAUUAUCUUUUUUCAAAAGAUUUUAUAUGCACCACUCACAUACUAAUUUUUCAACAUAAGUCAAUUGACACCCAUCGAUCGUGUCUUCCAAAAUUUGAAAUUUACAGGGUCUGAAGCCGCUCAAGUAGAUUGUCAAACUGAGCAUAACUUCAGCAGCAAUUGACAUGUAUUACUUCUUUCAAGAUCCCAAGUUUAAAACUUCAUAACCAUUAAGUAAAAAGUGGGAAGCUCAAUGAACUUGUAACUAGAGAGACACUACGCAAGCAACUAUCUUUCUUAUUAUCAUGCUUAGCUCAACCGCUCAGAGCAUUACUCACAUCUUUCUUGAUGAUCGGAGGUUUGUAUCUCCAAUCUCGUUGUUAAUGCAUGAAGGUUGAAAACACUUUCUCUUGUUACUCUUCCCUAUUACUGCAGAUUUUAAACUAGAAACGCUUCGAUUUGAAUCUGCUUUAUCGACAAAGAGUUCUACUUUGUUCGCUCAACUGUUGUCAAUUCUCUUGUAUGUCAUGUCUUGUUCUGGAAAGAGGAAAAAGAUUUACUUUUACUAUAGCCUAUAUGUAAGAGGUUUAUGUUGUUGUAUCUUAAUCUUGGAAAAAUAUUGUAAUGUUUAUCUUAAAUAUUAAAAUUGAAUUAUGCAUUGUAAUGUUCAGUUUCUAAUAUUCCUUUUUUCAAUAUAUGUAUAAAUACACACACACAUUCAAUAAAGAAAAAUACCAGUAGAACAGGCAACUCAAUGAGCAGUCGGAUUCCCAACACGAAGACAAAGGAGAAAGAUAAAUCUCGAUUGUCUUGCUACAUUAAUCUCGUCAUGCAUUCCUAAUUCACUACAACACGACUAACAAUUUUAUUUUUUUCUCCCUUCAAAAAGGAUAUGUAUCGAAAACUAACAGGAGUUCGAGGAACAUGCUUCUAGGAGAAUCAACUGGCCAAAUUAAAAUAAUUUCUACCAACUUAUUUAGAUAAGAGGAAGAGAGAUGUACAAAACUAAUUUCAAAAUUAUCACUAAGACACCAUCGCAUGAGCGAGAUGAUGAGCUACCUCACUCGUCGACCUCAUACAACACAAGCUUUGUGAUUAAAGGCAUCAACACGAUUAGUGCAAUCUAAUUCCAUAAUUAGAGGGAAUUUGCAUAAACAAAUUGUUUAUUUUAUUAAAUUUUAGAAAAUAUAUUCAUGAAUAAAAUUAAAAACUUUACGAGGUUAUUUAAACAUAGAAAAAUAUGUCAGACUAUUUCUAAUUAGAUUGAUAGAAACUUAUCACUAUCUAACAUUUUUUUUUCUUUUUUCGUAAAUAGUUUGACAUUUUCUUUUACUCGUAAAAGUUUCUAAUUACUUUUUAUUUUAAAAGUUUUAAUUGUUUUUUAAGAAGAAAUUGUAAUUUGACCUAAAACCACAUUUUAUGAUUGAGUUAUGUAAAUUUUUAGAAAAUUAUUUUUAAAAAAUUGAAGUGUUUAGUAACAUUUGGAAAUGUAUUUUUUAAAAUGAAAUUGAAAAGAUAAAAUUCUUUAAAAAAAAUAAAAAUAAAAAUAGAAGGUUUUUAAACAAAAUUAUGUAUAUAACUAUUUUAUAUUGUUAUAUUGAAUUAAUUUGUUUAUAUCAUAUUCUUUAUUCGUUCGGAGGAGGAGGAAGAGGAACAAAGAAAUCAGAAAUGCCACGAAAUAUGAACGGAAACAGAAACCAAGACGGAGAAGAUGAGAGGGGAUUAUUGUGGAAUCUUCCCGUUCUUAAAUCUUCCAGAUUCGGAAAUUUAGGCCCCGCCUUCGGUCUCGGCGUUGGUUGUGGCGUCGGCUUUGGCAUCGGCCUCGUCGGAGGUCAAUUCUUCAUCACCUUUUUUCUUUUACUCAUAAUUAACUUGUUAUUUCAAGUUUUUUCGUAUGGAUUGUUUCACCCUGCAACUUGCUGAUUGUUUUAUUUGGAGGUUUUCUUGUUCAAUUGGAGGGUUAUUUAGUCUGAAAUGUUUGUUUGGUUUAGGCUGAUUAUCGUUUUAAUUUGUAUUUGUGCCGUCUACUGUCUUUGACUGUUGUCCGUGUCUCCUGAAUUUGGGUUGAGAGAAUAUGAGUGUUUGGCUGCUGAAAUUCUGUAGCCCUGUGAUAUUUUCCCCAAGUUUACGGAUAAUUUGACUUUGUUUUGAAGAAGCUCAAAGAUGGAGGAGACGCAAUACGAGAUCACGACAUACGUAUUUUUCGAGAAUAACGUUAUAAAGAUGCUAUGGGUAACACAAAUGUGUUAGAGUUUAGACUUGAGAAAGGGAAUGCUAUUUUCUAGGAUAGUUUGAAAAUCAUUCAAAGGAAUAAAGUGUAUCAAUAAGAAAAAUAACUAAUUUUCCUACAAAAUAGCUCAAUUAUGAAUCCCCAAAUGGCGCCCGGAUGUAGUUCAUUCAGGUGUUAGUGUAUAUCUUUAACAUAUAUAUUUUUUUAAAUUGUAUUUCAUGCUUCAUCUUUAUCAUUCAACAAUUUCAGACAUGCCUUUUGAUGGAUACACCUCGAGAGGAAUUCUAAUCUGUAUUGUAGUUUGUGAAAUUUAUGGACUAAGUUUCUUCAAGCAGUUUAAUCGGAUGUUGUGUCAUUUAUUUGUGUAUUUAUGUUUGUUUGUAUGAUUGUGAUCAAAUAUGAAAAGCUUUAAUCAUUUUCACAAGUUUAUCAUCCAGCACCUUUUCUCUUCGUCUUUUCAUUUUUUUGUACUUGUAAAUAUAUUAUUCAGUUUUGUUAACUUUUAUGGUGGUUUUUCUUUUAGUCCGGAGGGUGGGUGUUGAAUUUUAUUUAUCACAAUUUAGGAGUCUACAAGCGUUACUUGGUUGCAUAUUUGAAGUUCCAUCUAUCUGUUUAGAAGGAUUUUCAGGUGCCAGAAGCUUGAAAUGUAUUAGGCUUAAAAAAUUGGAGUUCACAAAGCACUCCAUUGUUGAUGAGGAUUAAAUUCUCUCAAUCCUUUGUGAUAGUAUGGCUUUUAGUCUAUAAGAAACGCCAUUGAUUUUCUUUUUCAUAGUAGACACUAGACAUUAACUGGAUGAGAAAAAAGGAACAGUAGCAAUUGGGAUGAUAAGGCAUUCUUUGUUCUCCCACAUGCACACUUAAAUAAACACAUAGAAGAAGAAGCUAUUGUGGAUUUUAGGUUUUGGUAGAAGGUAGGGCAUGAGUGUCAGCCAAUGAAUAAAUAUUUUCAUUGUUGAAAUUUUAUUUUGCACUUUAUACUGUGGUGAACUACCCUUGUUUAGUUUAAUUGAAACUAAUUAAAUAGAUGAAUUUGCUAAAAAAUUUCUCCACUCUAGGUGCUGGAUUUGGUCCAGGAAUUCCUGGCUUACAGCUUGGCUUUGGUCUUGGUGCUGGAUGUGGAGUUGGCUUAGGAUUUGGCUAUGGUGUUGGCAGGGGUAUUGCCCAAGAUGACAAACGCAGAUACUCAAACGUUGGGGAUGUAUUGCGUGGUCGUCAAAGUAUUUUUCCUCAGUAAGUUCUAAAACUAACUGUUUUCAACUUGUGACUACCAUGUUCUCUUAGUUAUGCAUUAUUACAAGUCAGGGAAAAUUAACUUUUUCGUGGGUUUGGUGACCUGGCUUUUACAUAACAUGUACUUACUAAGGUGGCAAUCCAUGAUAGAUGAUUCAAAAUAGUUUUAAUUGUACUAUCAAUCUCAAGGUUAGAUUCCUUCCCCCCACAUGUUGUAAUAAGAAAAGUCCCAUUCUUUAUCUUCUUUCUCUCCUCUCUCUUCCCACUCUCUAUCCCAUUUCUCUCUUUUUGCUUAGUUUCUCUCUGCAUUCUCUCUUCUUCCCAAUUAAUCUUAUCAGUGGCUUGGACUCUAUGUUGUGAUUCACUUUCCAUCUUUUCAUUUCAACUCAGUUCAUCUUCUUUCAAUAACCUAGAUCAAUUGGGGUCAACUUAGACGUUCAUCUUGAAAAAUUGCCAUUUUGUUUUUAAAAUAUCUAUAUCUUUUUAAAAGUUAGGAAUAUCACUCUUGACCUUUGAGAAAUGUUUUUUUUGUCGCUCAAAUUACUAACAUCCUUCUCUUUCUUGUUCCCAUUCGACUUAGGGAGACACUAUCUUCUUAUCCACCUCAGUUGGCUGGGUGAAAUCAUUGAAACUAACGGUUGAUUGUCCAGAUCGUUAAACUAAACUACCCUACGUUUUACCAUCUUGGUUACAUUUAUAGGAUGGUCAGAAUAAUAAUUCCUUUUGAAAUCAUACUCUAAUUUGCACAGGAUUAAAUAGUGCCUUUCUUAACAGUGAAAAGUUAGAAACUGAUUGAUGACAUUUCCACGAUUUUCAUUUAUAAUCUGUGCAGCUAUUGAACUUCAGUACUCUGACUUCAUGAAACAUUUCUUGACUUUCAUUUUUACUUGUCAUCCAUCAGUCAGGACGAUAUCGGCGCGCUUGUUGACGACCUUGUCCUAAAUACAAAGAGACUUAUCCGAGCUACUUCAAAGGAGAUUGACAAGUGGAAAAGAUGAAAUUUUACUCAUUUGUUAUUACAUUGUACAAGUCUAUUACGAACAACAACAAUCAAAACUGAAGAACAAAGAAACGUGCUGGCUGACAUAUGGUAUGUUAUUACUUCGGCUUUUAGAGGCAGAAUUUAUGUACAAUUGUUUAGAAAGAUGUAUUUAACCUCUAAAUCUCAUAUGCAUUGGGUUUUGAGCAAUCUUAAAAUGCCAAAUGCUUAAUGUAUUAGUUUAGGUCCCUAGAUGGCUGAUUUAUCAUUGUGUGUAUGCAUUGGUUACGUGCGCCCGUAGUUAAAAGGUGAAAUUUUGCUAAUUCGGUCAUUAGUCGUUCUUAUACAAACGUCAAGUUGUGCUUUAUCUUGUUAGGUUUAAAAGUUGCAAUAUGUUAGAAGUAUUCCAUAUAGUUUUUUAAGUUACCUGGUAAAUAUCAAUAGGAUUAAAUUUCAUUUAACCCUCAAAAUCUUAGGUUUUUUUUUUUUCUAAUAUUUUGAAAUGUUUAUGUUGAUAUCUAAAGUUUAAAAAUAACACUUAAAAUUAGGAUUUUUUUUAUUAAUUUUUAUAAAUAUAUCAAACCAGUCAAAUAUUUACCGUUGUGUAACAAAAUGAAAAAGCCACGAUUGGUCAUGUUUUUAAAAAUAUUUCAUCUUUGUCAUUUCUUUUCGUCAUCCUUCUUUCUCUACUUAUACGAUUGUUUUUCAAAUUGUUAUUUAGUUGACAAUCAUAUACCAAAUAUAAAAUAUUCAUUUUUUAAAAUAUUUUUUUCAAACGGUUAUUAUCGUUUAAAAAAAAAAAUCAUUGACAUAUUAGAUAGCUAAAUUUUACUAAAUGAUUGUGUAUCAAGAUAUGAUUCAAUUACGUGUACCAAAUUCUACUACCAAAUCUAAACGAAGAUGUUUACGGGCAUGCUUGGUGUCAAUUAAUUAUCGACUUUUUUUGUAUUUCUUAUUGUGGGCUUUUUUCUCUUUAUAUUUUUUAAAACACACCAUUUUUUUUUAUAUAAUUGCUAGCUAUAAUUUUACUAACAAAUAUAACUCAUCAACUUGUUUAAUCAACCAAUAAUACGUGUCUAGAACAGCAAGUACAGAACUUUGUGAAAAAUGACUUUAAAAGAAACUUGCUAUAUUUAUGUUUACACAUCAAUACACAUAACCAAAGCUACACAUUAGAUUUGUUAAAUACUUCAAAAUUAGCUAUAAAAAAAACAGAAGUCUAAAAUAGACCUUUGGAAAAGAAGCAAAGGUAUAUUUACGAUUUACGAAUGAAUGACCACAUAACAAAAAUCUUGAUGUCCAAAUGGCACAAUUUUGUUAAGGAUAGCUCACGUUAUCCAAAUCACUCAAUCGGAGACACCAACUUAAAGGCCACAUCUGCCACCUCACCACUCUCCACCAAUCACAACACAGCAUUGGAUUUCUGAGCUCAUGAGACCAAUCACAAACCUCUAUCCGACGUGGCAUGUCCACAUCCACCAGCACCAACCAUAUAGCUUCUUCCUUCUCCUCAUCUCUUCUUCACCAUUUACACAUUCUUCAUUCUUCUUUCUUCUUUCCUCCCUUCAAUCCCCCCCACCAUGGCUUCUUUGGCUGCUUCCACCGCCGCCGCCUCCCUCGGCGUCUCUGAAAUGCUAAGAAACCCUCUUAGCUUCUCCUCCAGGUCCGCUCCCUCCCCUUCUACCCCCGCCACCUUCAAAACCGUUGCGCUUUUCGGGAAGAAGCCCGCAGCACCUGCCAAGCCAAAGCCCUCUGCUGCCUCUCCCGUCAACGACGAGCUCGCCAAGUGGUAUGGUAAGUCCACUUCCACCCAUUUACAUCUUUCCACUCCAAUAAAAAUGGUUCGCUCGAAAUUAAUUAUAUACCAAGUUUAUCGAGUUUUCUUUUUGUAAUAUUGAAUUAUUUUAAGUAUUUUGUUUGAAUUUAAUUACUUCUUUUUCAAGUUCAACAUAACUGCCAGAGCAAGAAAUGGGAUGAUUUCUUUUACAACAAGUCUCUAAUGGUCAUAUCUUUUGUUUGUACAUGUUUUCUCAACUUGAUGUUAACUAUGCUCUUCGACACUAAUUUAGGGCCGGAUAGAAGGAUUUUCUUGCCAGAUGGUUUGUUGGACCGAUCCGAGAUCCCCGAGUACUUGAACGGAGAAGUCCCCGGCGAGUACGGUUCAAUUUUUUUUUAUCCUCCUCAUCAUUGUAGUUCUAUGUUUAGGCUCCAAUGGAAAUUGAACUCUAACACAUUGUUUUAUUUGGUUUGUUACAGCUAUGGUUAUGACCCCUUUGGACUCAGCAAGAAGCCCGAAGACUUCACCAAGUAAGUAAAUCUUUAUUAAUCUACAAAACGAAGAGUAAUUUGUUCAAUUGUUAUAUGAAGGCUUAGUGAAAAAAUGGUGCUUUUUGUGUUUUUGGCAUGCAGAUACCAAGCAUUUGAAUUGAUUCAUGCAAGAUGGGCUAUGCUUGGAGCUGCUGGUUUCAUCAUCCCUGAGGCCUUCAACAAAUUCGGCGCUAACUGUGGCCCCGAAGCUGUCUGGUUCAAGGUCGAUUUUCAUCUCUAUUUAGACUCCGAUUGAUAAUGAUAGUUGAUUCUCAUCUCAUGAAAACUCGUUUAAUAGUUUAGUGUCUUUUCAAACAAACAAAUAAAUAUAGAAAUGAGAAUCUGUUUGGGAUAAUAAUCUAACUUAUUUUUGUUUUUAGAAUUCGACUAGAAAAGGGAGAUGACGAACAAAAUGUAUAUAAGAAAUUAACUUAAACCUAAAGAAAACGAAAAAUAGUUAUCAUACAUCUGAUUUGGAUGUGAACUAUUGGCCUAUACAGACCGGAGCUCUACUUCUUGAUGGAAACACAUUGAAUUACUUUGGAAACAACAUUCCCAUCAACCUCAUCGUCGCCGUCAUUGCUGAGGUUGUUCUUGUUGGUGGCGCUGAAUACUACAGAAUCAUCAACGGCUUGGUACGUCAUACAUUCUAUAAUUACUUUACAUGAUAUCAGAUCAAGAGAUUCUUCUAUUCAUACUCUUCUAACGAUAUUUUCUUGGACGUUAAUAUUGUAGAACUUUGAGGACAAGCUUCACCCAGGAGGGCCAUUCGACCCAUUGGGGUUAGCAGACGACCCAGACCAGGCAGCAAUCUUGAAGGUGAAAGAGAUCAAGAAUGGAAGAUUGGCAAUGUUUGCAAUGCUAGGGUUUUACUUCCAAGCAUAUGUGACAGGAGAAGGGCCAGU